GAAGGGCUGGUGGAGCUCGUGGUGGGGGAUGAGGACGGGCCAGGGCUCGCCGGCCUCGCGGAACAUCUGCUCGGUCUCGAGGAGGCGGCCGCGGUCGAGGAUUUGUUGUCGGAUGGCCUGCGCGGGUGUGGCGGCGGCGUCGAUGGCCUCCUCGACGCCGUUGACGUAGGUCACCACCACGCGCGGCGCCGCCCCCGCCUCCGCCAGGCGCUGCAGCUCCACCUGGCACGCCGGGUUCGACUCCUUCGCCCUCCGCGAUAUGCACUGCGCCAGCAGCUCCACGCACGCCGCCUUCCGCGGGUCCAGCGCGUUGUACUCCACCCGCACCCUCGACAGGUAUUUCAACAUCUCCCUCCUCUCUCCCUCCCCCUCCUCUCUCCCUCUCGCCCCUCUUUUCUCCAACUAUGUAGAAGCCCAAGGGGUGAAAAUUGCGGAUGUAGUAAUAUGGGCCGCAAAAGGCCCAAUUGUUUGCGGCCCAUAUAGAGGCCGGAUUUUGUUUUUGUUUUUUUGUUUUUGUAUUUCUUUUACGUUGUUCUAUUUUUUUAUCUUUUCCCGUCUUAUUCGUUUGUGUUUCAAAAAGGUUUGUUAAAAUUUUGAAUGUUUAAAAUUUAAACUGCAUCUACUUCCCUACACUCUGUAACUAGAUAUAUAUUUCUCUUCCCUCCCCAUACCACGUAAACAAACUAUAACCGUUACUCCUCAAAACUUACAGAUGUAGUAAUAUGGGCCGCCACAUAGAGGCCGGAUUUUGUUUUUGUAUUUCUUUUACGUUGUUUAUUUUUUCUCGCCUUAUUCGUUUGCAUUUCAAAAAGGUUUGUUGAAGUUUGAAUGUUUAAAAUUUGAACUGCACCUACCUCCUUACACUCUGUAACUAGAUAUAUGUUUCUCCCCCCUCCCUAUACCACGUAAACAAACUAUAGCCGCCACUCCUCAAAACUUACAGAUGUAGUAAUAUGGGCCGCCACAUAGAGGCCGGAUUUUGUUUUUGUAUUUCUUUUACGUUGUUUAUUUUUUCUCGCCUUAUUCGUUUGCAUUUCAAAAAGGUUUGUUGAAGUUUGAAUGUUUAAAAUUUAAACUGCACCUACUUCCCUACACUUUGUAACUAGAUAUAUGUUUCUCUUCCCUUCCCCAUACCACGUAAAUAAACUAUAACUGCCACUUCUCAAAACUUACAGAUGUAGUAAUAUGGGCUGCCACAUAGAAGCCGGAUUUUGUUUUUGUAUUUCUUUUACGUUGUUUAUUUUUUAUCGCCUUAUUCGUUUGCAUUUCAAAAAGGUUUGUUGAAGUUUGAAUGUUUAAAAUUUGAACUGCACCUACCUCGACCUACACUCUGUAACUAGAUAUAUGUUUCUCUCCCCUCCCCAUACCACGCAAACAAACUAUAACCGCCACUCCUCAAAACUUACAGAUGUAGUAAUAUGGGCCGCCACAUAGAGGCCGGAUUUUGUUUUUGUAUUUCUUUUACGUUGUUUAUUUUUUCUCGUCUUAUUCGUUUGCAUUUUAAAAAGGUUUGUUGAAGUUUGAAUGCUUAAAAUUUGAAUUGCACCUACUUCCCUACACUCUGUAACUAGAUAUAUGUUUCUCUCUCCUCCCCAUACCACGUAAACAAACUAUAAUCGUCACUCUUCAAAACUUACAGAUGUAGUAAUAUGGGCCGCCACAUAGAGGCCGGAUUUUAUUUUUGUAUUUCUUUUAUGUUGUUUAUUUUUCCUCGCCUUAUUCGUUUGUAUUUCAAAAAGAUUUGUUGAAGUUUGAAUGUUUAAAAUUUGAACUGCACCUACCUCCCUACACUCUGUAACUAGAUAUAUGUUUCUCUCUCCUCUCUAUACCACGCUAACAAACUAUAACCGCCACUCCUCAAAAUUCUCAAUUCGUCCUUUCUUACUAAAUUCUUUCCCCUCUUCCUGAUCUCACGAAACCACACCACACACUUCACACCACUGAUCGAAUUCUCCAUUUGUGAAUUUUCAAGUAUAUUCUCCUCCUCUUUUGAUGACCUCGGAGACAUCAACAAUGGAGAUCUCCGCGGCGGCGAAGAAAGAGGAAGCUCCGCCGGCACCUGCACCUGUGCCUGCGCCUGCGCGGUUGCCGCCGCCAUCGGAUAAUGGUAGUGCCGGCAGCAGGACGUCGUGGACGGGGAGAACGUCGCAGGUUCUGGUGAGAGCUUUAGCCUCGUGCUCGACGCUUGCCGCCACCCUCAUCAUUGCCCUCAACCAGGAGACUGAAGUCGUCGCCGGCUUCCCUAUGCACGCGGACUAUAAGUCGUCUCCUACAUUUAGGUGACACCACACACACCUAUCCAAAGUAAUUGCUCGCAUUUGGUUCUUCUAUAUCUUAUAUUCUAAGAUAUUCAAAUUAUUACCAUGCAAUUUAAAUUGCGCUAAGGACGGUGGAUAAAUUCAACAAAAAUUUUUUAAAAAAGUUUGAGCUAUAUAUAUAUCUGCUUGGUUUUUCGAAAUAUGAAUUGAGUGAAAAAGUGCGAGGAAGAUUGAAGUUUUUCCUAUUUAUUUUUUUUCUGACUGAAAAUUUUGAAAAAAAAUAGAUAUUUUUUUCUAAAAUUAUAUAAAACUAUUUUCUACUAAAAAAAAAUUAAGUUAAAUUAUAUACUUUUAAAAUUUUUUUUAAGCCUAUUAAUUUAUUAUCUAUAUAUUUUGGUUGCUUGUAUGCAGAUUUUUUCUUAUAGGGAAUGGGAUCACCUGUAGCUAUUCGCUGCUCUCCAUGUUUCUAGUGUGCCUUCUCGGAAGAAACUGUGUGUUUCAUUUGGUAGAUAUGGUAAUGUUCUUGUCUCUUUUUUUUCAAACAAAUUUUAUAUUAUUUUUAAAUGUGAAAAUAAAGUGAAAUAAUUAUUAUUUAAAAAAAAAAACUUAAACAAGUCUGAGACUUAAUAUUUAUAUUGAACAUUACAGACAUUCUAGUAGUCCUUUUAUAUAUUAAAGAAAUAUUUUUUAAUUUGAAUUUCAUAUUAUUGAAUGCGCAAAAUAGAUGGUAAGCUGUUAGUAAUAUAUAUAUGCCACCUAGUUUUAUUUAUUUAGAUAAUAAUUAGAAUUUAGUGUUAAUUUUCGAAUCAUGAUCAGUGUUACCAAUUUAUUUAUAUAAUUUCAAUAUAUAUAUAUAAUACUGAUAUAUAUAUAUAAUAGUUAUAUAUAUAUGUGAAUAUUUCUACAUAUCUGUAAGAAAAUUUUAUAUAUAUCCAUUAUUUAAGGAAGUUUCUAUAUAAUUAGGAGCAGCUUCAGUAGAAUUUUUUUUCUCUUUUUGAGAUAGAGAGAGAAAGAUAUAUAUAUAUUAUACUAUAUAUAUAUAUAUAUAUAGUAUAUUAUUCGUUUUGUUUAUUUCUUUUAGAAAUAAAUUUAGCGAAAAAUAUAACAUUUGCACUGGAGACUCUUGAUGAGUACGUAGAACAUAUUCGCAAUCAACUUCUUUAAUUUCUUGUAGUUGGCAAUGGGACUGGCGAUCGCCUCUGCAGCAGCAGCACACGCGAUAGGAAAUGUGGGGAAGUAUGGAAAUGAUCGAACAGGGUGGCUACCGGUGUGCAACUACUACAAGAGUUACUGCAAAAAAAUGGAGAUCUCCCUCGGUUGUUGUUACUUAGGCGUUCUCUCGCUUUACCUGGUAUGCGCUAUGACCGCGGUUCAAAAGGCUUCACAAAAUAGUAAAAAGUUCGUUCAAAAGGAGUAGCAACUACUAAUGCUAGAAACUUGUUUCUGUUUCUGUUUCUGCUUCUGCUUCUGCUUCUGCUUCGAUCUUAUAUUUUUAAUUCAACCAUCGGUAUUUACGCACUAGAUGGUUACUCUGGCUUGUUAAUAAAUUUAUUUCCCUGAGAAGUGAGAAUAAUUGUUGUAAGCCUUGUUAACAUUACAAACACUCUUUGCAUGCUUAAUUUCCUUUGUUUUUUUUAUAAUAUGGUUUUUAUUGAGAAUAUUCAUUUGCAUUUGUCUUGUUCAUGGCUAUUAGUUAUUGACUCUACGAUCUAAGUUUUCAUCAAUAUUUAUGAAUGAGUUUUCAUUUUAGAUUUUAGAUAAUCCUGUUAUGAUAUUCCUAAUAUUGCUACCAUAUAGUGAGAGUUUUAAGUUUUUAUGGAUAGAGUAAUAAGUUCAGUGUAAUUAGAGGAUAUAUAUAUACAGUGUUUAUCCGUACGAAAAUAUAUGAUGCAUAAUGCUGCAAAUAUUAUAUAAUUUUUUUGGGUUAUUUAAACUAGGAAGCUACAUAUGCGGAUCUUGGUAUUUUAUAUUAGGACAUUGCAAUUACCUUAGAACAAUUAUUAUUUUUCUCUAUAUCUCUUGUACUUUUAAGAGCAAUUAGAUGCUAAUUUACAAGUCCUGCUGUAGCAUUUAAUUUUAACUAUAAGAAGCAAACAAGUUUUUUUCCUUUUCACUUGUCAAUGAUUUAUAGAUAUUUAUUUUUGUCGUAGCUUGAAAUGCAGCAAAAUAAAUAAAUAUCUCCUCAAAUAAAAUGGUGCACUAUAUGAAGCAAUCGUUAUUCCUCUCAAAAAUAUCAUUAGCUACGAACGUGUGAUCCAUUAAUUAUUCACGCAUAUUUAUAUAUAAUCUUCAAAGACAUGCAUAGACUUUUAGUUGUUGUUAAUUUAAUCCACUUUGAAUAAUUAGAUUUUUAAUAAUUAGAACAGAAGAAAAAAUUGCCUAUUUAACACUGUAAAGUAGUAAAUUAACGAAAUAAUUUAUUCCUUUAACUAAGAGUUUCAUAAAUUAUUAUUUUAGCAUAAAAUGACCGUUAAUUUUAUUUUCAGAGAACCUUUUUAAAUUUUUUAUACCGUCGUUCUUUAUUCUUAAUUAAGAAUUCACAUUUUUGAACAUAAAGAUCAUAACCAUCCUAAUAAUGAAAAAUUAACUGUAAACUGAUAUAAAUCAGCUGAGGGGGGGAAAUUAAAAUUCAAAAUUCGAAACUUAUGAAACAUAAAUUUGAGAAUUAAAACAGUUGUAGAAUAACUUUGUAUUUUCCAAAAUUUGCGGAUUAUAUGCAAUGCAUUUGACUCUGCAAAGUUUGGAUUAGGUAAGUAUGUUAAACAUUUUAUUCUGAGGAAAAAAAAAAAACUGAUAAAUGAGACGAAACCGGUAGCUAGUUAGCAUUUAUUAAAAUGUUAAUUAAUUAAUUAAUAUCUCCUCAUUAGUCAAAGGUGUGUAACAACAUCGAAUUAUUAUAACAUAAUUAAUUAGUGUGCCUUAAUGUGGGAGCCCGAGACAUUUUUUAUUGACUUGUUAUUUAUAAAGUAUAUUGACUUGGGCAUGUGGCAUGAGUAAUGGUGCCCUUCUUUCAAUGAUCUUUAAAACUUAUUAAAAUUUAAAAAAAGAAAAUUAUGAUGGGCUUUGAUCUUAUUGACUUUCUCAGGGGAUGAAAAAUUACGAAUUCGAAUGAAUUUUUCAAAGAGUUCUAUUUUACUACUCAAACUUUUAAUCUAAACAACUGAUGCCCGUAACUUUCGAAAGUGUUUUAUUUUAGUCCAUGUAUCAAUCCACUUACUUCUAAUAGGAUGUGGUGUGAUGAUAAGGAUUAAAGUCCAGCACUUGCAGAAGUUUACGUGUUCGAAAGUUGAGGACCAAAAUAAGAUUUGUCCACAAACUUGUAACUUGAGGAUCUUCCUAACAUACGCAGACAUUUUUUUUUUGGUUGCAUAAUUUGAGAGGUGCCAACCAUGUCUACUCCCUUAAAACUGCUACCAAAAAAAAGAUCAGCUCCUUCUUUUUUCUUUUUUCUUUUUUUGAGAAAAAGAUAGCACACUACCCGCUUCAUUCAUUAGAAGAAUGAAUUAGGCUACAUGAGUGAGGUAACACUGGCCUCGAUGGGGGCGAAAAAAAAAAAAAAAAAAAAAAAAAAACUUAUAACAAACUUGCUGACAAAACUUGGUCCCAAGUCUUCGUCAGCUCCUUGUUUUUGGUUUUUUGUCUUUUUUGGCUUCCUUAUCUUUUGCACCCUCCUUAAUUACUAUUACAAUACUCUCUAGCCCUCUUUAUGUGGUCCAAUAUUCUCUUUAUUGGUCCUCCUAAUAAUUUGGUUUAAGGAUUCGGUUCUACAGCUUAAAUGAAUCCAGUAAACUAUAUGUGCUUUGAAGAUUAGAGAGCACAACUGCAUACAAGAAUGAAGACAACUGCAAGAAGCACAACUGCAUGAAAGUUCAAAUUUCUACUAACUUGAACUUCAGGUUUGUUAGGUGCUCUAUUUUUUAUGCUCUAUUUUGAACCCUUUUUUUUGUUCUGAAAAUUCGAUUGGAUCAUAUGGAGCUUUUUUUUUCCUUUGCAUUUUGGUGAAUCAUUUAGCAAGUUUCUUCAAUUUAAUUACAGGGUGAAAGGAAUUGAGUUUGGCCAAAUUUAAAAUGGCUAGAUCACAAAAAUCUUCUGUGACAUACACAAGGAUGUUUGUUUACAUGAUGGUGAUCAUUCUCGUUGCGGUCGUCGCGGUACUUCAGAGUUUAGCAUUUCCCUCUAAGAUUGCUUUCUCAUCUGCUCAUCCUCCGCUGGGAAUUACUUUCAUCGAAAAGGCGAGCUUAAUUCCAGAAGCUCCUUCGUUUCCGUUGUGGGUUGGAAAGCACUCCCUUUUGAGUGAUCGAAGCAAAUUUAUCACUUCAUCGACAACUCAACAAACCAAUAUAAUUGAUGUAGCAGCACAAGAAUUUAAUGAAAUGUUGGAAUAUGAGGAAGCGAGAAUUCCACUUGAAGAUGGCUCAUCCAACUUGGUUGAUAGAGUUAACACAACAAUUAUGAAAAGUAAGAACAAGAACAAGAAGAAAGAGAAGAUGGUAAUGCCCCCAGUUUACCUUUCAAAGAUGAAUCAAAUGCUGCUUCAGAAUCGAGCAUCGUAUCGUUCGACGGUAAGGGUCUAGAGCUGUCGAUUUCUUCGAGUAAAAAAGUACCUAUUCUGAGGUGCUAAGUAAGUUGAUGUUUUGUCUAAAAUGACAGAGGCCUCUAUGGUAUUCGGUACGGGACGACGAGAUUUUAGCCGCAAAGUCGGAGAUUGAGAAUGCUCCGAUUAUAACUGACGAUGAACAACUAUAUGUGCCGAUUUAUCGCAACAUUUCCAUGUUUAAAAGGUAUGUUACUGAAUACCAGUAUCAGAUUAUCCAAAAUGUAAUUAGUUGUGUUGGUAGCUAUCUAGUUAAGAGUUUUCGUAUUGAGCUAUAAACUGAAGGAAAGAGGGAAUGACAUGAUGAACUUAUGAAACAUUUUUGAAUGCGAGACACUUAUAAUUAUGAGAAGGCUAUAUGAUUAUUGCUAAUGUACUAAAAAAUGUCGAUAAUUUUAUUUUAGGAGCUAUGAAUUGAUGGAAAAAAUGCUUAAGGUGUAUGUGUACAAGGAAGGCGAUAAGCCCAUCCUUCACCAGCCACUGCUGAAGGGUAUAUAUGCAUCUGAAGGAUGGUUCAUGAAGCUAAUGGAGUCGAAUAAUCACUUUAUUGUAAAGGACCCUGGAAAAGCACACUUGUUCUACAUGCCAUUUAGUUCUUGUAUACUGAGAUUUCACUUGUAUGAUCCCGCGACGCACAAUCGGGGGCUUUUAGAGUGGUACUUGCGGAACUACGUCCAUACAAUUGCAGCAAAAUAUCCUUUCUGGAACAGAACAAGUGGCGCCGACCAUUUUCUCGCCGCUUGUCAUGAUUGGGUACGCGUCUUAGAUUUCGAUCUCUUAAUCUCACGAUUAUGUUUUCGUUAGAAUAGGUUAACAGGACAAGAAGAAGUAGUUAACGCAAUUCUUAUGAGCAGUUGAAUCAUAUUGCAUAAUCCCUACAUAUGAUAUAAAAGUUGCCUUCUUGUACAGGGGCAAGAUAAUUCUUAAGUACUUAGAUUGAGACUAGCACAACGAAAUGUGAUUUAUGUUCCAACUUAAGGGACUGAAUUUGUGAUUAAUCCAUUAUUAUUUUGUGAAUGAAUUGGCAGGCUCCAUCCCAAACUAAACUAACAAUGAAACACGCAAUCCGAGCACUCUGCUCCGCUGAUCUCCGCAACGGAUUCCGGCUAGGCAAGGACGUCUCGCUCCCUCAAACCCCUAUCCGGAAUCCGAAGCGCCCUCUCAUAAACCUCGGUGGGAGUCCGCCCCGCAAGCGGCCUACUCUCGCCUUCUUUGCAGGGAACACGCAUGGCGGCCUCCGGCUGACACUUCUUGAACACUGGGAGAACAAAGACCCCGACAUGAAAAUAUACGGUCCGGCGUUCCGUCGCGCCAGCACCAACAUGACUUACGUCGAGCACAUGAAGAGGAGCAAGUACUGCAUUUGCCCGCGGGGCUACGAAGUUAACAGCCCGCGGGUAGUGGAGUCCAUCUUCUAUGAAUGUGUUCCGGUGAUCAUUGCUGAUAACUACGUGCCGCCUUUUUUCGAAGUGUUGAAUUGGGAGGCGUUUUCGGUGACGGUUCCGGAGAAGGAUGUGAGUAGGUUGAAGGAGAUUCUUGUUUCGAUUCCGGAAGAGAAGUAUUUGUUUUUGCAGAAGGGGGUGAGGGAGGUGCAGAAGCACUUCCUGUGGCAUAAUAAGCCGGCGAAGUACGACGCUUUUCGCAUGAUCCUUCAUUCAAUCUGGUUCAGUAGAGUUUUCAGCAUAUGAACCAAGAUCAGAGGUGAAUUUUUAUCCUCUUCUUUUUUUCUUUUGCCCUGAAGAAAAAUGGUGAAAAUAGUGAAGAUGUAAUGGCCGUUAAGGAAACGGUUAGAAUAUAUAUAUAUAUUUUUUUCCUUUUUACUUUUUUCCCCCCUCCUCAAAAGAGUAGCACUGAGAUUGGCACAAGUAUUGCAAUACAGUUCCCGUACAAUGACUCUUUGUUCUCUCCCAUACGGAAUGGUCUCCGAAAGGAAACCAAUUUAAAUUUAACUCUAAAAUUACAAGCAAAAUAAGACACGGGGUGUUGAAUCAGGUUCACAAUAUAUUCGCCCGAAAAAGCAUUUUAAAUGACUAUGCUAAAAUUAUACAUCAGCAGUCGAAAAUUGGAAAAAAAAGUUACUUCUGAAAUGAAAAACACAAGAAGAUUCAUCUGCAAAAUUACGUAGGUCAUUUACUGAACAAAAAUUAAAUAGAUCAAACAGCUAAAUAUUGUAUCAGUACAAAAGUUACCUGUCUGUCUAAUUGACUUGCUCUCUUUCUCUUAUGCAGUAGUUGCACACUGAAAAUGCAAUUCUCUUUUUUUUUUUUUUUUUUUUUUUCUUUCUUUCUUUCUGAUUAGUUACUUUCAAGUAAUUUUACACGUUAAUUAAUCAACAGCUCUUUGGGAUUUUUUUUUUUUUUUUUUUUUUUUUUUGCCUUUUCUUUGUUCGAGUUAUUAUUUGGGCGUUCAAAUUUGAACUCCCUGGCUAAGUCCGUCAUCCGGGGGGCUAACGGAGAUCCACAGCAGCGAGACGGUGAUGGCGAGGAGCCCGGCCCAAACAUAGACGAUGGUGGGCGUGCGGCCUCUCCGGCCCAUGAGGCCCUUGGCAAAGGGGUACAUAUGGGCCAAGACCCAAAAGCUGAAGAAGACCCCUCCGAGCAGCUUGCUCCACUGCGGGAUCUCGCUGUAGACGGUGCGGGAGAAGCCUAAAACAAUGGCGACGAGGUUGAUGACGAUGAUGGCGAGCGGGGGGAUGAAGAGGCUGGUCCACUUGAUGACGUAGAGGUCGGCGUAGAUGUCGUCCUCGUCCUCGGAGGCGGACUUGGAGGUGAGGGUGAAGGAGAUCUCGAUGCCGGCGACGACCUUGAGGAGGCCCUGGAGGACGGCGGCGAGGUGGGCGCUGGUGCCGCCGAUGACCCAGAACUGCUCGUUGCGCCACCACUCCUCGAGGGCGAUGCCGGACCACUUGACCUCGAGGAGGGAGAGCAGCAUGAGCGUGAUGGUGAUGAGGAGGAGGUAGACGAGGAAGGUGACGUCGAGGGUUUGGACGAUGAAGUGGCCGGAGAAGAGGGAGAGCGCCGGGAGGAGGCAGUAGGCGACGAGGAAGAUGGAGGUGAAGGGGUAGAUGCCCACGUUCAGGUAGGCCACGCGCUGGAGGAACUUGAGCCGGGGCGACGCCAGCAGCGCGUUGUUCUUCGAGAAGAAGAUCUCCACCGACCCCGUCGCCCACCGCAGCACCUGGUGCAGCCGGUCCGUCAGGUUGAUCGGCGCCGUCCCCCGGAACGCGUCGCGCCGCGUGAUGCAGUACACCGACCGCCACCCCCGGUUGUGCAUGCGGUACCCCGUCACCACGUCCUCCGUCACCGACCCGUAGAUCCACCCUACCCUGUCCCCCCACUCCGUCUUGUCCUCGUACCUACGUACGUACGUACGUAUAUAGUAGUACGUACCAUAACACGACGCAGUUAUUAACAACGCAUGCAUGAAACCCAACAAAUGAAAUGACUUAAUUACUCGAUCGGAAUAUUAGUAAGUAAUUCUCACCAGCACGAGAUGACGGAGACGGCCUCCGCGACGGUGGGGGCAUCGAGGGGCGGCCGCGGCGCCAGCAACGCCCCGGGGGGCCGCCCGUUCUUCACCGAAGGGUGAUCGGCCAGCGGCCGCCCCUGGUACUCGGCCACCGCGAUCGACUCGACGAACAUCUUGGAGUUCCCGAACUUGUUCGGUCCGUCCAGAUCCGGAUGCUCCGCUAGCGGCUGCCCCCCUCCCUCCCCCUCCUCGUCGCCUCCCCUGACUGCCCCCGGCGCCACGGCGGGCCUCUUGUGCUGCCCGUAGAGCCCCAGGUACUCGUUCGCCCGCGGCGGGUUGAAGCCGUAGAGCGCGUACCGCCGGAACAAACACCCGGUGCCGACGUACAUGGGCCCCUGCAGCCCGUCGAGCGCGCGCAUGUUGCCGUCGAAGAACACCGUGUUGUGGUUUGCGUAGCGGUCGGAGGGGUCGAUCCCCUCGAACCGCUGCGGGAACUGAAUGUAGCAGAUGCGGUCGCCGCCGCGGUCCAUCAUGUAGCACAUGCCUUCUCUUAUGGCCAGCGAGUUGUAAAUGUAGUGGUCGCAGUCAAAGUUGAGGAUGAAGGGGCCGUUGGAGAGGAUGGCGGAGGCGCGGACCAGCGCGUUCAUGGCGCCGGCCUUCUUGUUGUGGUCGUAGCCUGGGCGCUUCUCGCGGGAGACGUAGACGAACAUCGGAAGGCGGGUGUCGACGCCGGUGAAGUCUAUGUACGGGUGGUCACCGGGGGCACCGGGGAUGGGCUCAAAAUGCGGGGUCUUGAUCAUAACCUGCCUUAAAUACAUACUAGUAUAAGCACCGUUCUCUUGCAGUUUUAUUUUUUGAAUUGUAGAUUCAAGCUAAUUGAUUCUGAACCUUGCGUUACCUAAUAUAUUAAUUUAUCAGAACAAAGAAGUUCUGGAUUCGAAUUCCAUCCGAGUCUUAGUUUUAUUUAAAAUCUUUCUAUUUAAUUCAAAUCUGCGUCUUGCAUUGUGCAAUACUGUAUGCUUUAUCGGCCCAAGUUUUUAGAGUUAUUAACCUGUAGGAUGCCGGCGUGGUCGCCCUUGGAGUGGUCAGGGGAGGGGGGGGCCCAGGUGCCGGGCCAGUGGGUGGAGUCGGCCAUCCAUACGGCCUUAGGGGGCAGCUUGGCGGGGUCGAGGGGCUCGCCGCGGUCACGGGCGAGCUUCUUCUCAUGGAGCUCCUCGCGGGAGUUGAGGCCGUCGGAGCGGCGGCGGAUAGCGUCGGGGAGGCCGUUGAUGCGGACCUUGAACUCAUCGUACUCCCGCUUGAUCCACCGCCGGUCCUUCACGAAGUCCGGCCGCUUCUUGUUCUUCGUCGGGUCGCCCUGCACCGCGAAGUACGAAUCCGGGUUCCGGGGCUCGAUCGAGUGUUUCCGGCAGAACGGAACCCACACCUGCUCGAUUAUGCAAAACGUGCAUGUAUGGUUCAAAACCAUAAUAACGUUUCAAUUUGAUCAUAUACAGUGUGAUCUCAUUAUAAAAAAAUAACACUAUGUAAUAGAUGACAUUUAGUUGAUCCUACCAAUUCCAAUUUAGUAUAAGAUCAAAUUUAGUUUGGCUCUACUACUUUAAAUUUUUGGAGAAAAAUGAUUAUUGUAUAAGACCUGGGCAAAGGAAGCGGCCUCGGCCAUUGCCUCGAAUGUGAGAAGGGCGGCCCCAUCGUCGGAGAUGUAAAUAGAUAGCUUCUCGACGGGGUACUCGGUGGCGAGAAUGGAGAGUAAAGUGUUGGCCGUAACAAGAGGGGGUUCCUUCUCGGGGUCGGCGGUGGAAAUGAAGACAUCGAGGCCGGGGAGGUCGGAGCGGCCGUGGGGGUUGGAAGGGGAGGGCGAUUCGAAUUUGUCACGGAGGGCGGCGAGAUCGGCGGCACGGUUGAUGGGGUUCAGCUUGGGAAGUUGGUCCAGAAGCCAGGAGAAGGCGAACCAGAUCUCGCACACGAUCGAUAUCCCCCACAGCCACAUCGCGUCCUGGUUCGGAUUCCGGAUGCGCCAUGUCAAGAACAGGCUCAGCGCCACCAGCCGGACCAAAACUAGCAGCCUGCAUCAUUUCUGUCACUGUCUUAGAUUCCGCGCUCCUUGCAGUACAGUUUUAAUUUGAAAGUUCGACGUAAUUUUCAAGUCAUCCUCAAAUUCAAAUUUUAUGUUCAAUAUUCAAGUAACAUUUUCUAACAGCUUAAAUUUUAGAAGAACAUCAUUAAUUGAUGAAAGAAAGAAGGCAUUACCUAUAGGGACUUAAUACUCCAGCAGGGAUCUUCACCUUCCUGGUGAGGGGCUUCCAUGGCUUGUCCAUGAAAUCCGACAUGCUCAUCCCCACGCCGUCCUCGUCGUCGUAGCCCCCGCCGCCGUCCUGCGGCCAGUACGCGUUCCCGAUACCGUACGUACCCUUCGUCUCGAACAGCCACCGGUUGUGAUCGAAAUCCCCGGUCUGGCUCCGCAGCAGCAGCGACUUGUUCGCAUGCAUGACCGUCGACAUCCUCCGGUCCAGCUUCGACGACGACGGCCCGCCGACUCCCCCCUCGUCCCUCCCGCCGCCUCUCCGCCCCGUCAGCUUCGCACCGUUGGGCCCGUAGGGUGGUAGGGGGAUGUCGUUGGGCUUGGAGGAAGAAGCGGCGGCGGAGGAGGAGGAGGAGGAGGAGGAGGUUGCACCGGUGUAGGGCUGGUUGUCGGGGGUCGGCGGCAUGAGGACGGUGUAGUUGACGUAGUCGUUGCCGCCGCCGGAGGAGGUGGACGUCAGCUCGGAGGCGGCGAGGCCGAGGUCGAUCUCGUCGUCGCGCGACAGGCUCACGAUCCGCCCGCUCGACGUCCGCCGCGCGAACUUGAUCGGCGGCUUCUUCGGAGACGACGACAUUGUGUGAUCCUCCUCUACGCCCUUCUCCCUUCCUUCUCCUCCUCCUAUAUAAUCAUUGAUUUGCGGGCGAACUCAGUCGAAUCAGAGGUAAUCUUUUUUUUCUUUCUUUUUUUUCUUUUUUUUUUUUGUUUCUAAUCUCUUAGAUUCGUGAACAACUCGGAGGGGACGAAGGGGGGAGAGAGAAGGGUGGUUUGCAUGAGGUGGCAGGAUUUUUCUUUUCUUGUAGUGCGUGGUAAGGAGUGAAUUGCGAGAGGGAAACGCUCGCAUUGUGUUGCGGUAGGGCGACGGUAGCGGCAAAAAGUAGGAGGUUUAAUUGGGCUCGGUUCAUUCACGACCCACCAAUGUUUACACAUCCAAAAGUCCCAGGUUGGGAUCCAAAACUCCAAGCCCAUUAAAACUGUUUUAAUGGGCCGAUUCGCACCAUCUGCUUUGCAAAAAAAAAAAAGAGUCUGGACCCAAACCCAAGCCCAGACCCAUGGAGUCCACAACGAAUGAGGGCAAAAUAGUCAUUUCCCACCAGUCCGCCCAAACCCUAGAGUCCUCCUAUAAGAUCCUGAACCUUCGUCUCAGCCACGCUUCUCUCUUCAGAGCCGCAUCCGCCCCCCUAAUCUCUUUCUCUCUCUCUCUCUGUCUCUCGUCGGCCACAUCCAAUCCAGUACAGACAGCCAUGGUGAAGUUUCUGAAGCCGGGGAAGGCGGUGAUCGUGCUGACGGGGAGGUUCGCGGGGCGGAAGGCGGUGAUCGUGCGGGUGUUCGAGGAGGGGACGCGGGACCGGCCGUACGGGCACUGCCUGGUGGCGGGGGUGGCGAAGUACCCGAAGAAGGUGAUCCGGAAGGACUCGGCGAAGAAGACGGCGAAGAAGUCGCGCGUGAAGGCGUUCCUGAAGGUGGUGAACUUCUCCCACCUGAUGCCCACCCGCUACACCCUCGACGUCGACCUCAAGGACGUCGUCACCCUCGACUCCCUCCAGUCCCGCGACAAGAAGGUCUCCGCCUGCAAGGAGGCCAAGGCCCGCUUCGAGGAGCGCUUCAAGACCGGCAAGAACCGCUGGUUCUUCACCAAGCUCCGAUUCUGAUCCUCAUCCUCAUCUCCGUUGGUACCCAUUUCACUCUCCUUCUCCUUUUCCCGAUUCUUCUUCUUCUUCUUCUUCAUCUUUAUCGUUGUCGUCGUAGUCGUCGUUGUGUUUUUGCGUUUGCGUUUUGGAUCGACUCUGUGGAUGUUAAUCGGAUGGAUAAUGUCAGGUUCAGGUUAAGCAUCUACUGAAGGAUUUUAAUUAUUAGGCUUUAUUAUUACUGCUCUUUACGGUUUCGCUGGAUCUGGAUGAUGAGUUUUUAUGUUAUAGUUAUUGUUAUGGAUCGAUCUAUUGAUGUCAAUCGGAUAAUGUAAGGUUCGGAUUAAGCAUCUGGUGAGGCUAUUUUUUGUUCUUCUUCUGGUUCUCUCUCUCUCUCUCUCUCUCUCUCUCUCUUUGUGUUGGAUUGAUUUUAAUUAGUAGGGUUUAUUACUGCCUUUUGGGGUUACCACUUGAUAUGGAUGAUGAGUUUUUAUGUUAUAGAUAUUUUCAUGAGAUGUUUGGUUAGUUUUGAAGCUUAUUCUGUGCUCCUGUGCUUUGUUUACCGCGGUAGUUUGAUGAAUUUUGUUGUUAGUAUACAGUAUUGGUACUUGGUGAUUGUGAGGCUUGUUGUGUGAAAUGGUAAUAAUAUCCUGAUUUAUAUAUGUUGAUUACAUUAGUUAACUGACUUAGAAGAGUGUCUAGAAAGAUUUAAUCUGUUGAGAUUUUGUCAUAUACCUGUUGAGAUUUGUGAUGUUUGAAUUGUCUCUUCUUUCGGCACUGUUUCUGAUGUAUACUCAAUUGUGGGUUGAUGGUGUUCUUCGAUGCUAUGCUGUUUUGCUAAGGUCCGAGGAUUCCGUUAUCAAAUAGCAGGUUGUGUUGAAAUCCUCUAGAUAAGCUUGAUUUAUUAUGUAACUGACUAAGAAGGUCUUAUUAUAAAUUUUGAUAGUUUGCGUCGUUAGAUCUAAUGGAUUUCUUCUGUGAAUCUGAUAUCCACCUGGUUAAUCGGCACUUCUGCUGGCGUUGAUUAUGAAAGUGCAAUAGAUCAUGCAGUUGGAGCUGUUCUCCUUGUCGAUCUUAUACGCAUUAUUUGUUGUAUCUUCUACUCUUGUUUUGUUCUCUCUUAACAUGGUAGAAAUGCCUUUUGCCUCUAGAAGAUACAAAACACUUUCAUUUCAUGGGUUCUAGCUAAUUAGUUGAUAUCCCCACAGUUGUGCAAAUUUACUCAACAUUCUUGUAGGAAACUGGUUUCGUUAGGUUUUUAGUAGGGGUGUAAACGAUCCGAACACGAGCAAGCUGGGGUCGGCUUGUUUUAUAAACGAGCCGAACACGAGUUAGCUCGCGAACAGCGAACUGGAUUGCCACCCCUAGCUUUUAGGCUGAUUUAUCGCCUUAUGGUAUAACUUCUGUAAUUGUUGAUGUUCAAUCAUUGAAGAUCGUCUCUUGUUUCUUUUGAUCAUAUAGUCCAUACAUCCAUGCAAAAACAUGGCAUUUAUACUUUUCAAUAAGUCAUUCCACCUUUUCCUCUGUUAUUGACUAGCAUUAUUCCACAUAUAAAUGUUAGCUCUCUAGUAUUCACCAUCAGUGUCAGAUCCUCGAUGACCAGAAUUUCGGUUGUUCUUUUCCUGUGUUUAUCUUGUAAUAACUGUUGAAACCACAAAUAUGUUGAAAAGAAUGUUUCUGUUCAAAAUGGCUUAUGUGAAUACAUCUACCCCCCUUUGGGUUUUGGGCUAAUCUCAAAGUUAAAAUAUGGUUUGAUGCUUUCAGCAGUUGCUGGUUAUGUUUCUUUGAGAACCACAGUAUUUGGAAUAUAUCAUCGAUGAGAUUAACAUAAUUUGUCAAUCUUUCUAGAAAGGGGAUUGAUAUUGCCAAAGUUAGUUUUGGUAUCUUCAGGGAAGAUGCAUAAUGUCUAGCCAUGGUUUGAAUUUUUUUAUUUUUUUGGCUUAUGCAAUAUCAAGAAUAGUUUCCUUCUAGAAAACCUGCCUGCAAAUUGAUUAUCCUGUGAUAGCAAUCACUAGACAUUUGGGGAGAUAAAAAGAAGUUGAAACUUAAAAAGAGCAUUAAAAACACUACACUUCAUUUAUUCUUUCGAUACUGUUGCCCUUCUGCUUCGCACUCAUGGACACAGUUGUACUUGUACAGCCUAAAGAGCCUUCCUGUUCAACCAAGGUCGGAAUUCACUAAUAAAACUUUGGAACCGUUUUGAAUUUUAUCAUCACUUUAUUAAUUAGCAGCGAGUCCUUUUCCUGCUUUGGCUCUUUUUAUUAUUAUUUUAUAGCAUUAAAAUAAAAAAUAUCAAGGCUAAAUUAUAAAAAAUAUUUUUGUUAAUACCUUUUCUUCUUCUUUCUUUUUCUUUUUUUUUUUUUUUUUUUUUUUUUUCAAUAAUUUACGCUUUGUCUCCUUAAAAAAUAAAAAAAUAUUCAUUCUCCCCACUUCUCCAGCACCCUCCCCCCUUCAUUUCGGCAAUUGUAGAGAAAAAGAUUGGGAUGGACGUGGAUGGAGAGGUGAGCGAGUGGACGUCGGUGAGAAAGAUGUAAAAAAUAGAAUAUCAAAAGUAUUUUGGGUAUAAAAGGUAAGAUAUAAAUAAAAUUCUAACAGAACACUGAUGGCAGGACUGAAGUAAAUAUUUUUUAUUUUUUUAAGGACAGAAGAGUUUUCUGUAAUUUAGCCAAAUAUAAAAAUUUCAAAUCAGGCCUAAUGGAUAAAAAAUAGGGAAAACUUCAAAAACCCCCCCUGUGGUUUCGUGCAUUCUCACUUUGCUACCCUGUGGUUUAAAACGUAUCAAUUUAUCCCCCUGUGGUUUCAUUUUUAUCUUUUCGGAAGCUUUUUCGUUAAUAUUUCGUUAAAUUAUAUACAAAAAAACUUCAGAUAACCAUCUAUAUUUAUCGAAUAGUCAUUUUAGUAUUCUUUAAUUUUAACUUUGUCACUGAUUUUAAAAAAAAAUAAUAAUAAAAUUGAUAACAAAAAGAUAAAAACGAAACCACAUGGGGGCAAAUUGAUACGUUUUAAACCACAGGGUAGCAAAGUGAGAAUGCACGAAACCACAGGGGGGGUUUUUGAAGUUUUCCCAUUUUAAUACCGUGGGAAGUCACUCUUAAUACAAGAAGUUUGUGUUCUAAGCAGCUGCAUGACAAUCUUUACAAGGAGGCAAUAAUUAUUGACCAUGCAAAUAAUCAAUUAUCAACUCUUCAAGAAAGGAAUUGUAGGUUGCAAUCUCUAUCGCCUCCAUUUUGAUGGAGCAAAUUUAUUGAAGAAAAAAUAAACAUGGCUAAGCUCCCGAUAUGCACUAAAGGGUAAAUAAACAAACCCAAGUUUCUAAUUUACUCUAAGAAUAAGAAUUGUUACCUGGUUAGUGAUCCGUUUAGUAAAUUAUAGCAAGUUUAAGAAACGCAAGAGCACAAAACAUUAGGGUUCAUGGAAUACUAAAUUUUCAACGAACAGUAUGAGUCAGGCAUUUGCACAAACGUCUUAAGAGCAAGAAAAUUUAUCUAAGAAAUAACAUAGGAACCUGAAGAGAGAUCACUCCUCCUUUUCCUCGCCUUUCUCCUCGUUACCCUUCUUCUCCCCGGCCCCGAAGUCGAGCACGAACCCUUCCCACUCCUCCGACCCCUCCUCCUCCUCCGGGCCCUCCGCAUCGACACCGGUCUCGCGCUUCUCCUCCUCCUCCACCUCUUCCUCGUCGGCGUCGGACUCGGACGACUCCAUCUCGGGGCGCGUGGGUGGGAUGCGGUGGCGCAUGCGGGCGUAGCCGCGCGGGAGGAGCCCCUUCGAGAUUGGGCCGUGGCCAUGGGUGGGGACGGGGAUCGGAGGAUGGAGCACGGCUGGGGCCAAGGAGAGUCGCCUCCGCAGCGCCGCCGCCCACGCGACGGCCGAGGAGCGGAGCAUCAUCUCAAUCGAAGAAGGGGGAAUGGAGGCUUUGAAUUUUGAACUGAAACUGGCGCGCAGUAACUUAGCCAAAUUCUGGUGCCACUUCUACUUUCUAUUACUUAUUCAAUCAUAUGAAGUUGCAGGGAACGAAGGUCAAACUCGGGGUUUUUGCCUUACAUGGUUGAAAUAGUACUUAAUUGCAGCUAAAUAGAACAAUCUUAGACAAAAUACAAGUUUACAUAUUGUAGAAUUUUUUAACAUAAGCAAAAAGACUAUUCUAUAUCGAUAUAAUCUCAUCUAAUUCAACUGCACAUGAUCGAAUAAGUUACUUAGGUGUAACAAUAUGUUUCUCUAAUUACUUUGCAUUUACAAAGACAUUAACCAAACACCCUCUGGUCAUCUUUUGAGCACAUAAGAUAAGCUUCUCUCCGCGCAAACAACUGUAGAUCCAGCAACUAUGGUAAAACCAAAUGAAAUAAUUAUUCGCAUAUUUGCGUUCAUUGUAUAACUUACAACUAAAUAACAUCAAAUUUCAGAUAUUAAAUAUGACUACAAUUAGGUAGGAAGAUUAAGUUAAAAUAAAUAAAUUAAUCGUUGCUUCCCAAACUACUACUUAUAAUUCACUCCGAUUCACUUUGGUUCUGCCGAACUAAGGAAUCUUUUUGAUAUUUAUGGAAGCCAAACAGAAAAACACUUACAAUUCUCCAAUGAUUAAUCCCCAAUAAUUAUAAGCAUUAUUAGUUCCAUUCCAAAUACGAACCAAAUGACUCAAAACUACGCAGAGAUCGAAAACGUUAAAAAGGAACAACACGACACGACACAACACAACACAACUCGACACAGCACAGCACAACACAACACAACUCGACACAGCACAGCACAACACAACACAACACAACACAACACAACACAACACAACACAACGCUUAGUAUUGCGAAGACUCAAUCGGAGUCGUCCGAAAUUUCAUCCGGGAUAUCGUCCAUCUCGCCGUCGAGGUUCUCCUCGUCGUCCUCGUCGAUGUCCUCGCCGUCGUCCUCGUCAUCUACGUCGUCGUCGUCGUCGAAGUCCUCCUCCCCUCCGCGCGCGCGGGCGUAGCGGCGGGAGAGGUCGAGAACCGGAGGGAGAGCGAGGUAAACCGGCCGGUUCUGGAUAACCGGGCGCGGGGAGAAGACGAACCGCCGUGCUGCAGAGAACGCGAUCGCCGCCGCCGCACGCUGCAUCUCUGUAUCGCUCUGCUUAGGGUUUCUACGCAGGGGGAGUGGGGUUCAGCUUCUAGGGUUUAUGGUUGGGGUUUAAAUAGAACAGCAAAGUAUGACGUGCUCGAAGCUUCCCGAGUGUUAAUGGCCCGCGUUGACCAUGGGCCUUCGAGUAUAUUUUGGGCCCAUUAGUUCGUUAACAUUAAGGACUGUUUGGUUCGUAUAUUUUGGAUCCGGAAUGAGAAUUGGUUUGAUCAAAUCCUGCUAAUUUUGUUUGGUUUACAGGAAUCGAUUUGAGACUCCCAUUUUGGAUCGGAAUUGGAAUGGUCCAUUAACUUACAAAUUGAUUCUGGUCUCCAAGUUCGAAUUGAAGUUUCAAUUCCAAGCCCACACUCACCUCUUCCUCAAGCCAGCCCCACAUUUUUCCAUUUUAUCCAUCAUUUCUCUUCUUAUAUCUAUUUUUUAUUAUAAUUUUAUUCAAAAAAAAUUUAUGCAUUUUUUGUAAUUUUUUGCAUAAAAAUUUUUAAAAUAAAUUCAUUUUUUUUUGGCAUAGCUCUAACUUGAGAGUAGUAUUAUUUUUUUUAUAUAUAAAUUUUAGAUGGUUUUAUAAAAUCACAUUUAAAAGUAAAGAGUAAAAGCUGUUACCACCUUUUAAUUACUCAAAUUUAAAUGACACCUCUACAAGAACUGUAGCUCUGCUGAGUAAGAUUAUGCCUGGAAAUUCUUCAGGAAGCAGGAAUGGCUAGUCACUGAUGAUUAUUAGCAGAAUAAUCUUCAGAUUACAGGUAAAGAAAUAGCGCACAACACGGCAGUUUACAGGUAUCAAGUUCAUUAAAAAUAAGGAACAUGAUAGCAGUGUAAUAGCAGUCUAUUAACCGCCACACUGAUAGACAGACGAAAGUGGAUGUAUUUACUGGAGGUUUUAAUUUGCCCCUGACGAUCAUCCUUUCUUUGGCAUUGCAGCAAGUCGUGUAUACAUCCUCGCCAUCGAUCGGUAUCCUCUGAUGUCGCCAGAUCGCAGAAGAUUGCCUGGAUAAGCAAAAGAAAAGAAAAAGGGAAAAAAAAAAAGAGAGAAGAUAAUUAGAAAGUUCAUAGGAGAGCAAAGACAGACUCUCAGAAAUUUAUGUAUUACACUUGGGCGAUAUUGGUAAUUUGCGAGACUCUGGUGAAAGUUUAAAGUUUAUGGGCCAACUAAUACCAAGUCCCAGUCAAAGUUCGUAAGCUUCAGGAAUUUUGAAAAGAAAAAUGCUUAACUAAAAGCAUGGCUUUGAACUAACCUGAAUCACAAUUGAGAGGACUAUCCGCUUCUGGAUGCGCCAUCAGAGCUAUUAUAGCUCUGCAAACAGAUUGGAGGGUCCACGCAGGGCUCCAAGCAUUCUUCAAGAUAUCCAGGCAUAUCUCCCCAGUCUAAAAAUAUAGAGAAUAACUGAGUAUUACAAUAAUACCAAGCUUUUAGCUUAAAUUACUGGGUUAGAAUGGCUACAUAAUUCAUUAGGUAAUCUAGGGCAGGCACCUUGCAACGCAAUACGAGACAAAGGAAUCAAAAUUCAACCAGAAAAAGACGACAGAGAAGCCAAAAAUGAGAAAAUUCUACUGCUUAUAAAACCUGCCUAGAGUGCCUAUAGUAAUCCUCCCAAUCUAUAGAACUAGCAGAAUAUCUCGAGGACCAAUAUCAAAUAAACCUGCCUGGAAUGCCUAUAAUCUGUCUUAUUUUUAAGACAUGUUUCUCAGCCCAUAUCCCCUGAUAAGAAAAUAAGGAAAUGAGGGCUUUGAAAUAUAACUUGUUAAUCUAAGCUAAGUGUGGUCAAGAAACAAGAUCCAUUAAGAAGUUUAUAAUGAAUAAAUAUGACUUUCUGAUUCAACUCAAUAUUAACUUGCUACGGCCUGAAACUUGAUGCAUCUGCGAUCAGAUGAUGUAGACCAUAGCAAUUAUACUUCAUCUUGUCCACCUUUUUAGCGUAAGUUCCAUAAAAUCAGACAUUGGACUUUCCCUGUAGCAGCCCAAGCUACUUAAUAUUGAGUUACGCGGACGAGCGAAGUCCGCCCCGAGCUCCUUCAGGGGAACUUCAAGUGCCUCUUGUGGGAACGUUGCGAAGAAUGUGGAGCAGCAGUUUAAGUAUACGGAAGUAGGCGGCCAAAAUUUUCCUUAACAAUUGAUUUAUUUGUUUAAUUAUUUAAUUUUGUCAGAUCAUUUCACGUCGCCGCAAAAGUUUAGCAUCUGAUAUCGAUAGUAAUUUUAUGAUUCUCUGCAGCCUAUUAUCUGCACGAACGCGACGUGUCAGAACCGAGCUAAGUGGGCUCUUCUCCGGCAAGAGAGCAAGUUCACAGAUUGGCAGAGGGUGCGGAUGUAGGAGACUUCGAAGGAGAUUCCUGCCGAGUCUCUUCCCCGGUCGUUGGAUGUCAUUCUGCGACAUGAGAUGGUUGAGAAGGCGAGAGCCGGGGACACGUAAGAAUAACUGAUUCCUAUGUCUACCGUGUAAUUCGAGCCCCAUUUCUGGCCUGUUUGGCCUGAUUAGAACUGCCAUAGAAGUGCUGUUUGAGCGCAUGUUCGGAUAAGCACUACUUCUUGGUUAAAGUCUCUACCCUUCUAGAGACUUAAGAUUGAAUCAAACUAGAGCUGCUGGGGAUACAUAAGAAUCACCGGUUCCUAGUUUAGGGUUGUUGUGUGCCACUAGCCUAUUUCUGACCUGUUCGGCCUGAUUGAGCUGCUGUAAAAGAGCUGCUUGCUUACAAGUGUGUGCAAGUGUGCAGAUAAACUCUAGACUUUUGUUUGUCAUAUGCCUGGCUUUUGCUGCCUUCCCAUUAGAAGAGUUGUUCCGGGAGCUACAUCAAACCGUCGUGUAGUCACUUAUUCUAAUACCUCCAAUUUCGCUUUUUAUGUAGGGUCAUCGUCACAGGCACGGUGGUUGCUAUACCAGAUGUGAUGGCAUUAACUUCCCCUGGAGAAAGGGCAGAGGUCCGGCGGGAAGCUUCUCAGCUUCGGAAUGGAGGCAGCAGUCAUGAAGGUGUAAGGGGUUUGAAAUCUUUGGGAGUAAGAGAUCUCUCGUAUCGCAUUGCUUUCAUAGCAAACUCAUUGCAGGUUUGAAGAAUUUGGACUAAUUUGAGCUGCGAUUUCAAAUUUGAAAGUUUUCAUGACAUCGCUCUUAUUUAUUGCUGUUUUCUUCUUGAAUUUCUGCAUUUUUGAUAUCUAGGUGGCAGAUGGUAGGAGAGAUGGCGACCUUAGGGACCGAAAAUUGGAUAGUGAUGAUACCGACAGACAAGAAUUCAUUGUAUGUUUUGAUUUUGAUAACCAUUUAUAAUAUAUUUUCUAUGAGGUUGUUACGAAUUGUGGGCUUAAGUUAUGGCAUGGAUAAAUUAUCGCAGAAAUACAUCAGAAUUAUAUAACUGCUUUGCGAUCAUUUUAUCAAAUAUCCAAACGUUCUUUGGUGUACUUGUUAUUUAUCUUUGCAUUAACCUUUAUAGACGGAGUAAAUGUGAGCCAUUUCAUUAUAACAUUUGACUAACAAGCAUUUUUUUGUAUUAAGAUUUUACUCCACACUUCUCCAUAUGUGGCCCUUGUGGCUACAUUUGUCAAGCACAUGCAUGAAAGUUAGUAUUUUAUUAGGCUAUUAAAAAUUUAAAAAAAAAUCUAACUACACUGCAUUUCUUGUCAGCAAGAAGAGGAAGAGGAGGUUUUCAGGAUGAGAGACACUCCUGAUUUUUUCAAUAAGCUUGUUGAUAACAUAUGCCCUACUGUUUUCGGUCAUCAAGAAAUUAAAAGAGCAGUCCUCCUUAUGCUAUUGGGUGGUGUUCACAAGAUUACACAUGAAGGAAUUAACCUCAGAGGUGAUAUUAAUGUGUGUAUUGUUGGAGAUCCCAGUUGUGCAAAAUCCCAAUUCCUGAAGUACGUUUCAUUUUGACCUUAAUUCAUCAUACUUGUUGCUUUUUCUCAUCAAUGUCAGAAGUUGAUAUGAUGUUUGCUUUCUCAUAAAAUCAGAAAAUAUAGUUGAUCGUAAUUCUUAUUAAUGAAGUGUUCUAUCCUUUUGCAAAUGCUGUCAAGCACAUUAUUCUCAUCUUGGUUCUGAUUAUUGUUUAUCAGAUACGAAGCUGGCCUUGUUCCACGGUCUGUUUAUACGUCAGGAAAAUCCUCAUCGGCUGCUGGUUUGACAGCAACAGUUGCUAAAGAGCCAGAAACAGGGGAGUUUUGUAUUGAGGUAGUAUUGUUUGCUAUUGAUUUCUUCGUCUUCUUUUCUUUUGGCACCUCUCUCUCCUAAACUCCAACAUAGCAGUAGAAAACUGAAGUCAUGUGUAGUGUUCAAUUUUACAUGGUUAAGGAUGUGGUUUAUACAUUUUGACUAUACCUGAAUAAUGGAGGAGUUAAAUGGAUUUUUUCAGUUUUAUGUCCAAUCAACAUAUACCUUAACACUUCUUGUGAAACUUAUUUGGUUGGGUUUUUGUGUUUAGUGUUUGCUGUGAAUACUGGUUCUUGAUAAUCAUACUAAUCAUAUUUGGCUUAUAAUUUAUUCAACAAAAUCCAACUUCUAAUUUCUAUCUAAAUGGAAAGGAAAGCUUAAAAUGUGAUAGCUGUUGAACCAGUGCAGAGAUCAUUGCAUUACAUUGUCUUUUAUUUCAAGCUUUUCCUUUUUAAAUGAUUGAUUAUUAUGCCACUGAUAUACUUUUGCUUCAUGCAGGCUGGCGCACUUAUGCUGGCUGAUAAUGGUAUAUGUUGCAUUGACGAAUUUGAUAAGAUGGACAUUAGGGAUCAGGUAUAUCUUUUGUUAUUUUACCAGUGUUUGGAAACUUAACAUAGGAUUUAUUUUUCUUUCAAGAUGACCUGUGGAUUUCUUACUUGAUCUGUCGAUGUUAAGGUUGCCAUACAUGAAGCAAUGGAACAACAGACCAUUAGCAUAACAAAAGCUAGCAUACAAGCAACUCUAAAUGCUAGAACUGCUAUCUUAGCUGCAGCAAAUCCAACAUGAGGACUCUAUGACAAGACCAAACCCCUCAAAGUAAGCCUCAAUAAACUGCAAUCGUCAGCUUCUGCUUCCGUGGUAAAAAACUUUAAUAUUUAACUUUUUCACGAGCUAUUUGUGUAAAGCUUUGUUGACCGAGAUAAUGCUUGAUUUGUGAUGUUCAUCUGUUUCUUCUGUACCAGUACAAUGUGGCCCUUCCUCCUAUUCUUUCAAGGUUUGAUCUGGUGUACAUCAUGAUCGAUGAACCCGAUGAUAACACCGAUUAUCAUAUUGCUCACCACAUUGUGAGGGUUCAUCAGAAGCGCGAAGAUGCACUUGCCCCUCCAUUUACCACAGCAGAGUUGAAGCGAUAUUUUGCUUAUGCCAAGUCUCUUAAGCCUCAGGUUUUCUUACUUCUUUAAGACCUUUUUCCUUAAUUUUCCAAAAUGAUUGUUGUCUUGUCUUAACUUGUAUGUUAUUUCUAAUGCAGCUGAGCUCUGAAGCUCGAAAAGUGUUGGUUGAAUCAUACGUGGCACUUCGCAGAGGUGACACUACUCCUGGCACUAGAGUUGCUUAUAGAAUGACAGUCAGGCAGCUAGAAGCAUUAAUCAGGCUGUCUGAAGCCAUUGUAAGGAGUCAUUUGGAUAAAGUUGUAAGUGCCACUCCAAUUACUUCUUCAUUAUUCAUAUUUUUACUUGUCUUUAGUAAAUCAGGUUUACCAUAUUUGGUCAUGUCAUGAAUUUUUUGCAGAAAUUAAGUUUACUGUAUGUUCUUAAAUUUUUUGCAGGUGCUUCCGGCACAUGUUCGAAUGGCUGUAAGGCUGCUAAAGACAUCUAUAAUCAGGCAAGAACCUUUACUAUUUAUCUAAUGACUCUGUGCAUGUCUUGGACAAAAGAUUUUAUGUAUUUAUUGCAUGUGUAGUGUUGAGUCGAGCGAGAUAGACCUCUCUGACUUUCAAGAUAAUGAAGAUGCUGACGGGAAUAGAGUUGCUGACCAAGAAACUGCAACUCCAACUGAAAAUGCUCAUCCAGCACCAGAAAAUGAAGGUGGCUGUGUUUGCUGUAGUUAAAAACUGCCAUCUUGUUAUCCUCUUUGUUCAAUUGCCCGAAACAUCUUAUUUCCCCCCCCUCUUUUGAAAUGUCGGGCCACGGUUUUUUAUCUCGAGGGACUUGAAAGAGCGUAUGUAUAAUCUUUUACAGUUGAUGCUCAAGGGAGUGAGGGCCAGCAGAAGAAAAAAAUGGUUAUAACUGAAGAGCAUUUCCAGAGAGUUACUCAAGCAUUGGUCAUGCGCCUGCGGCAGCAUGAAGAGACUGUCAUGCGAGAUGGUAUUAGACUCUGAUUUUUGCAGUAUAUAUUUUUCAUACUUCUAGCAAAUCUUACAUUUAGUUCUGCAUCUGUAAUAGCUCCUGUAUCUCACAUUGAAUAAAUGCAUUUGUAAUAAUCACUUUAGGAUGCUAGUCCUACAUAUGUGUGGACUAUGAUAGGCCUGUAAUCACCUCAUUAAUUAUGAAAAGUUCUGCAUGGACUAUGAUCGGCCUAGUUGUCAUUACCUCAUUUAGUAUGCCUAUCCUAUAUCACCUUUUCAUUAUAAUUGGUUCCCUUUCCGACCUAGAAGUAGUACUAGAUCUAAUGUCUCAUACUAACUGCAUUCAGCUGCUUUUGUCCUCCAGAAAACUGGCUCUAGCAUUAGGGCACAAAUUACCAUCUGUACCUACUACAAUGGGGCAAGCUAUUUCAUGUUAUAUGAAUCUUUCUGUAACUAGUACUUGAAAUAGUAUACCUAAUAAGCUAUUUCAGAUUUUUAAGAUGAGUCUUAUAGAAAUUACGCUAGGACAGGGAAAUCCUGCCUGAAUUUUCACUGAUAUAAGCUUUGGGAAUUCUAAUCAUUUAGGAAUCCUACCAAGAUAUCCUAAUACUUCAAUAUGAGAUUAUGCAGGAUUUAGGAUAAGUACAAGGCAGAUUCAGUUCUGAAUGUCUUAAUCAUUCCUAAGUUACUUUUGUUCUGGAAAUUUCGCAUGUUGUGCUAAUUUAUUGCUUUUUUUUUGGGUAUUUGCGUUGUCAGAAUUAGUAAACACCAUUUUAUAGAUCGUGUCAUGUUCAUCCCUUCUUAUGCAUCUUCGCUGAAUUCCCUUAGUUCGUAACGUUAUUAUGCAAUUUAUGUAGGAAGUGGAUUGGCUGGCAUGAAGCAAGGGGACUUGAUUGUUUGGUAUGUUGAGAAACAGAAUGCUGAAGGUGCAUACAGUUCCACUGAUGAGGUGCGAGAAGAAGUUAAAUGCAUCAAGGCUAUCAUAGAGGUAAACAUACUAGUGCAUAUAGUAGACAGUAAUUUGUCUUAACAACGAUGCCAUUAAAAAAGACCUUGUUAAAGCUCACUGAGAUAACAUCAAUGCAGAGGUUGAUACAGAGGGAAGGUCAUCUGAUAGUGAUAGACGACGGCUCAAGCUCAGCGGCACCUUCGGCAGAUGGAGGGGAAACGAGAAGAUCCACGGAGAAUAGAAUCUUAGCAGUGGCUCCAAAUUAUGUUAUCGAUUAACACAUCAAGUUAACAUAGAACUAACCUAUUCAAUUGACAUGGAGAAACUAUCAGAUUGUGCCACCAAUUGUUCCGUACAUCAGGUUUCGUUGAACUGUAACGAUACAUACGGACUCUAUGAAAGGUUUCGCAGUUCAGCGGUCCUGCUCAGAAGAAGAGGAUUAACGAAGGCUUUAGUUUGGGACUUGCGAAGAGGAGUUUCAUUUCCUAAUGUUAUUUGCUAUCCUCAGUUGCAAUACAUUCUUCAGGAUAUAAGCUAUGCUCGUGCUUCCGCAUGACGAAUCUAUCACUCGCCCUGUUAAAGUUUGAUAUAAGCUGGCAACAACAUUUUCCUUUCUUAGAUUUUGCCCAUUUGAUUCUGUAUGAAAUGUCCUAUUAAGAGGGUUGUACCGUGGUUAAAGGUUGUGACUACUUGGUAACUGAUUUCCUUUUAAGGUUGUAUUACAAUUUGUUGCUGUAAAAUCGCAACAGUUUUCAGCUGCCAGCAGGAAGCGGCCUUCUCUUUAAGUCGUCUAACACAGAUCAGUCGGUCAGCACUUUUUCCCCAAUUGCAGAGCUAUUAUUUUCAUUCGCAAGACAGGAAGAUAAUGAAUGGAUCAUGUACUUGUACUUUUGCAGCACAAUGGCCUGGGUUCUUCUUUGGCUUAGCCUUUGAAGUGACUUUUUUACCUUUUUCAGAUUCGGAGAUCUAAAAAGAAUUAGGGUGCAAUACAUUCUAGAUGUAAAUCCUAAUAUAUCUUUAAUUGUAAUCAAUCACCCAAACAAAACCUACGAGACUUCACUUCCCUCACGUUACAAUUGGGUCCCACCCCAGCCGCAUCACAAAUUCACAAUAACGCAACUCAGAUGGAAAGUCUAAAUUUAAUUUGCAGGCGAAGAACAUGGCCACCACAUUUGUCUAAAUCGGGAAAACGCCCAUGGCAUGUGAGCUGUUUCGAGCAAUGGAACAGGUCAUCCGCAAACACAAUUAAUAUCCUGCACUUCUUCUUCUUCUUCUUCUUCUUCUUACAUUAUUAUUUGAUAAUUUCUCAACGAGCAAUCAUCUCCCAUCAUUCAUUUGGUUUGCUCGUGAUUGAUUGCCGCCGCAACUCUCGGGGCUACGAGGCCCAUUUUGUCCUUUCAAUCACCCUCCUCCAGUUAACCUGUACUCGUCCAACCACAAAACGGGAAAAAAAAAACCAACAAAAAUCAUAUAUAUAUAUAGUCCAACCUCAAAACGGGAAAAAAAAAACCAACAAAAAUCAUAUAUAUAUAUUGUCCAACCUCAAAACGGGAAAAAAAAAACCAACAAAAAUCAUAUAUAUAUAUUGUCCAACCUCAAAACGGGAAAAAAAAAACCAACAAAAAUCAUAUAUAUAUAUUGUCCAACCUCAAAACGGGAAAAAAAAAACCAACAAAAAUCAUAUAUAUAUAUUGUCCAACCUCAAAACGGGAAAAAAAAAACCAACAAAAAUCAUAUAUAUAUAUUGUCCAACCUCAAAACGGGAAAAAAAAAACCAACAAAAAUCAUAUAUAUAUAUUGNUUGAUUCAUAUUUUCAGUUAAAUUUAUUUCUAAAUGAAAUAAAUGAAGCGGGUAGCGUGCUAUCUAUCUCUCUCAAAAAAAAAAAAAGUCUUCUGUACUUUUGAAAGUACGAAGACCUGCUUGUAUGUUGUUUUCGAUGAUAGGAAAUUCGAUUCGACGAUCGGCUCCGUUAAGUAUAACCUACCUUAUUGGAAUUCUUUAGAAACCAAAUUUUAUAAUUUUUUUACAUCAUUUACCAAACGAUCAAAAGGUCUCAAAAAUGACUAUUUUAAUAGCCGAUGUGGCACGUUUUUAAGUUCAACGGUGUAGAAGUAUCCAAAUUAAAUAAAAAUUUAAUAAAAAAUUCUACUUAACAUCAAUAGUAAGACCAAUACUUCCGAUUUGAAAUUUGAGUCAUUUAUCACUGUUUUUUAUGAUAUUUUCAUUUUCAGCCGUUCAUUUUGAGGCUACUCGUUCACUAGACAAAUGAAAUCAAAAAAUUAUGAAAUUUGGUUUCUAGAUAGUUCCAACAGCGUAGAUCAUGUCUAACGGAACUGAUCGCCGAAUCGGAUGUCCCAUUAUUGAAAACAACUUACAAGUACGGAGGCUCCUGUACUUUCGAAAGCAUAGGAGCCUAGCUAUCUCUCUCUCUCUCUCUCUCUCUCUCUCUCUCUCUCUCUAUAUAUAUAUAUAUAUAUAGUGCAUCUGGUAUGCUUCUGGAAGAACGGAGCGCUCCGUGCUUCCAAGUUGUUUUAGAUGUUCGGACUUUCGAAUCGACGAUCGGCUCCGUUAGACUUGAUCUAGAGUAUUUGAAAUAUCUAGAAAAUAAAUUUUGCGAUUUUUCGAUAUCAUUUGCCAAGUGAUUGAAGUGGCUCAAAAUCAACAGCUGAAAAUAAAAAUCUUACAAAAUAUGAUGUUAUGACAUUAAAAUUUUAAAUCAAAGUUAUUGAUCUUGUUUUAUAUGGUAUAAAAAAUUUUCUAUCAAAAUUUUAUAUGAUUUGAAUAUUUCUAUCCCUUUAAACUUGCAAAUGGCCCACUAUGGCCAUUAAAAUUAUUGAUUUUGAGCCCCUUCGAUUACUAUGCAAAUGAUAUCGAAAAAUUACAAAUUUAUUUUCUAGGUACUUCAAAUACUCUAAAUCAACUCUAACGGAGCCGAUCGUCGAUUUGAAAGUCCGAAUAUCGAAAACAACUUGGAAGCACAGAGAGCUCCGUGCUUCCAGAAGCAUACCAGCCCACUUUAUAUAUAUAUAUAUAUAUAUAGAGUGUGUGUGCGCGCGCGCGUGUGUGAAAAAAUUAAUACAACUCUUACGGUAUAAAUCUAGCUUUAUAUUAUGAUUUUGAAGCCUGUAGGUUUUGUUAAGGAGAUCCACCAUGCUGCAUGUAAUAAUUUGUCAUUAGAUUGUUCCCCAUCACUCUUGGUAGGCAAAUUGUGCUAUUUAGUAUUUAUGUAUAGGCAGAGAUUUUUUAUUUAUUUUUAACAAGACAGAGAGAGAGACAUUGGGCAAAGAAGUCCAAUUGUGGAAGUGGACUGUUCAUUUCUACUCUCUCUCUCUCUCUCUCUCUCUCUCUCUCUCUCUCUAUAUAUAUAUAUAGUGCGUCUGGUAUGCUUCUAGAAGAACGGAGCGCUCCGUGCUUCCAAGUUGUUUUCGAUGUUCAGACUUUCGAAUCGACGAUCGGCUCCGUUAGACUUGAUCUAGAGUAUUUGAAAUAUCUAGAAAAUAAAUUUUGCGAUUUUUCGAUAUCAUUUGUCAAGUGAUUGAAGUGGCUCAAAAUCAACAGCUGAAAAUAAAAAUCUUACAAAAUAUGAUGUUAUGACAUUACAAUUUUAAAUCAAAGUUAUUGAUCUUGUUUUAUAUGGUAUAAAAAAUUUUCUAUCAAUAUUUCAUAUGAUUUGAAUAUUUUUACCCCUUUAAACUUGCAAACGGCUCACUACGGCCAUUAAAAUUAUUGAUUUUGAGCCCCUUUGAUUACUAGGCAAAUGAUAUUGACAAAUCACAAAUUUAUUUUCUAGGUACUUCAAAUACUCUAAAUCAACUCUAACGGAACCGAUCGUCGAUUCGAAAGUCCGAAUAUCGAAAACAACUUGGAAGCACAGAGAGCUCCGUGCUUCCAGAAGCAUACCAGCCCACUUUAUAUAUAUAUAUAUAUAUAUAUAUAUAUAUAUAUAGAGUGUGUGCGCGCGCGCGUGUGUGAAAAAAUUAAUACAACUCUUAGGAUAUAAAUCUAGCUUUAUAUUAUGAUUUUGAAGCCUGUAGGUUUUGUUAAGGAGAUCCACCAUGCUGCAUGUAAUAAUUUGUCAUUAGAUUGUUCCCCAUCACUCUUGGUAGGCAAAUUGUGCUAUUUAGUAUUUAUGUAUAGCCAGAGAUUUUUUAUUUAUUUUUUACAAGACAGAGAGAGAGACAUAGGGCAAAGAAGUCCAAUUGUGGAAGUGGACUGUUCAUUUCUACUCUCUCUCUCUCUCUCUCUCUCUCUCUCUCUAUAUAUAUAUAUUAUAUAAUUGAAUCCAAUAUCAUUGAAUCAAGCAUCUGAGGAUUAAUUCCUUCUUUGGUGUAUCCCUACUGAAUUGAUUUUUUUUUUAAUGCGUUGCAAAGGUUAUUAUUACAUGCGACAUGUUAAAUAUAGCCUCUUUCUAUAUACCUGGAAGUGUAGUUUGUUGGCAUGCAUGUAGCAUUUAUAGCGAGGCCAUAAUAUCAAAUGGAUUCACUUACAAACUUGCCCAUUUUGAGAGUACCUCUACUCGAGGUGGAGUACCUCUACUCGAGGUGUAGAACAAGAACAAAAUUGAGAUGUAAACCAUUUUAGAUCAAUUGCCACAUGCAUUUAGAAAGACUAUAUAUAGGAGUAAGCCAUGAACUUUGUAAACCAAUUGGUUAUUAUACGCAUUAAUCGUAACCUUAAAACUUAUGUACUGCUUAUUUUGAUACCACUCUGAUCGAAAAGCUGCACCCAAGUACUGUUCAUCAGUAUAACAAUCUUGUACUAAAGAACACUUUAAACAAUAACUAGUGACGCUUUAAAGCACCUGCAAGAAUAAUCCGACACCUGUAAAAACGUAGAGCAAAGAGUUGUUAGGUAAACAUGUUGGGAUAAAUAUACCGAUGCUUUUUAAUAUACCGUCAGAAAAUUUUUAUCAGUAUUUGAUAAAAAUAUAUUUAUUGGCGACGCUUAAUUAUGGUAUCGAUAUAUGCCAAAUAUUAAAAAUGUUAGAAUAGAGCGUCGUCUAAAAAACGUCGUCUAAAAUAUAUUUACUAUAGUGGAUCCUGAAUGCUUUUAAAUUCUAUAAAAAUUAUAAAUAAAUUUAACGCUUUAAAGUUUUUACUCAUAGGCAACUAUUGUAUAUCAUCACUAGUUGGAACUACAACCAAAGUAUAACUUGGUCACUAAUUUGACUCCCAAGUUACAACUAAUUAAAUUGCAUUUCAAUCGUUAAGUCGAGUGUAGCUAAGUUGGAGAGCGCAAUAAGAAAAUAAAGAUAUAUUAAUGUGGCUCGAUCUUAGCAAAUAGCAAUUCAUUACUUAUUUCAUUUGCAUUGUAAUUGCGAAACUCUCCAAUCAUUCAUUACCAAGGGUUUGCUAUUUUUAUUUUUCCUUUUAAAAAGUUAUAAAUUGCAUAGAUUGAUCCAUCAUCAGAUUUUAUUUAAUCCAUUUUAUCAGUGCGUGAAUCUUUGACCAUACAACCAUAUUUACUAAAACAAAUGAGUAGCAUGUUAUCCGAUUCGUUCAUACUUUUUUUUAAAAAAAAAACCCAGGUAGUAAUGUAGAGCAACUGACUUUAGAAUUCAGAGCGUUUUUUCUAUUUUUUGCUUAAAAAUAGAAAAGAAGUUAGGAUAAGGUGUAGUAAAUGUUACAAUUCCUUUUGGUCUUAGACUUAUCAUUUCUCAAAAUAAAUUCAAUAGAUGGUGACACCAUGACCAUAAUUAAGAUUGAUCAGUACUACAGCCCUUCAGUACUACAUCAAGAUGUUGGUAUCUCAACCAGCACACACAAAUUUAUCCCUAUCCACCAUACAAAACACCCAAACCUACCCAAAAAAAGAGAAAUAAAAACAUUUUUUUUUAAAAAAAAGAGAGAUGUUGAUCUCCCUCAGCUUGAUUGGAUCCACUCACCUUCCUCUCCCCAUCAUGGGCCCCACCACAUUCAAUUGCCACUUACAUGUUCCCCUUCCUAACCCUAAUAGUUUUUAUUAAUUAAAAAUAUCAUUAAUUACUCACAAAUUAAGACUCUAUAUAUAUAUAUCACUACAAAACAUGACUAUCAAAGUCUCUCUUAGUGUUGCGUGUGGGAGUGUACCCAGCUCACUGAUGAUGAAGUUGAUGCAUGGAGCCCCCUCUUGACCCACACACACGCGCACCAUGAGGUCUCAUCACCUCCCCCCCGGUUAUUGUACUCCUCCCCCUCACCAAGCUAAGCAACUUGUAUGUGCACGAAUAUUAAAGCAAGGACAGCUGUAUUAAAAUAAGGGGCUAUUAUUAUUUAUAUAGAUAUAUAUGGGCCUAAAAUAACAAUUAUGACAACGAAAACAUGGUAGACGCAAUCAAAUGAUAGAGGACCCAUUUGUGUAGACUUAUCAUUUCUCUUUACAUUUAUUAUACAUAAUCUUAGUUUUUUUUUUAAAAAAAAAAAAAAGAGAAAAAAAAAUUUACUAGGCAUUAAAGAGUAUAAUUCGCAAGCAUUAGUAAUAACAACGUGAAUAGUACAAUGGAAAAGUAACAUUGUCGGAUGCAAUUUUAAAUGAAACUGAUAUUAUUAUAGGCGAAAAGAUGACAAAUUAAAUAAUAAUAAUAAUAAUAAUAAGGUAGAAAUGGAACAGUAACAACACCUCCCAAAACUGAGAUAGAUCAAAUUACAUACACCACACUGCACAUGUCCUUAAUAGCAAAUAAUAACGAUAAUAAUAAUACUAAUUACACAUCCUCCUCCUCCUCCUCCUCCUUCACAACGAAAACAAAAACAAAAACAAAAACAAAACCCAACAUAGAUACAGAAUUAAAAAUGACAUACAAUAAGAGAAGAAAAAGAAAGAAUAACCAAAUAAUGCAAACGGUCGAUGAUCAUGCAUGGAUACGUACGUACGUAGCACCAGUUGUACAAAGAGACCGCGAGAAUUACAUAACAUAUAUAUAUAUAUAUAUAUUAUAUAUAGCAUAUGUAUAUAUAUUAGGCCUUGGCCGGUUCGGUCUCAGCCGGUUCGGCUGGGGCCGGUUCUCGAUCUCCUCCUUCUUCUCCUCCGUUGUGGAUUCCGCCACGGCGGCGGCCGAGGCCUCCGCGACUUCGGGCUCUGCUGCAGGGGCCUCCCGUGGGGCCUCGUCGGGGACGAAGGUCCCCACCUUCUCGAGGAGGAAGACGAUCGGGCCGGCGACGAGUCCCGGGCCUGACUUUUCCACCACCUCGCUUACGGCCUUCGAGCCCGGAAAAUCUGCAUCACAAUUCGCACGUAAAAUUAUUCUGAUAUCAUGUGAAAUAACCGUUUUUUUUUUCUUCUCUAAAUCUUAAGCUACUAAAAACUAUAUUUCAUGUAAUAUAAGGUGUGCAUACAUAUAUAUAUAUAUAUAUAUAUAUAUAUAUAUAUGUGUGUGUGUGUGUGUGUGUGUGUAUUACCGAUUUUAACUAUUCAUCGAGGAACUUAGUCAUGCGGCGGCGUUUUUCUUAACUCACUCUCUUUGGGCGCUUUCACCAAAGCCUGUGAAAAUCAUAUAUAGCAAACAUUUAAUCUAGCAUGUAAUUAAUUUGUAAUUAAUAGGAAAAAAUAUUUUUGGGGGCGGUAAAAAAUAAGAGAAAUAUAAACCUGAUCUCAGCAGGAGCAGCUUCAUAGAUCUCAAAACUUUGGGCCCGAGCUCACUCUUCUUCUCCCAACUCCUUGUUAACCUCCUCCUACAUAAAUAUAUGUACAUAUUUCAUACACAAUAUUUAUAUCAAAAUAACUAGAACAUAUAAAAAUAUAAAAAUAUAUAUGCAUGCGUUAGAGAAAUUAACCUACCUUAUCGAAAGAUUUGACGAACUCAGAAGCCGCGGCUUUUUUGCGCUCUUGUCGAAAACCUUCCUGAGCUGUGGAAGGACCUUAGUUUGCCAAUAACCAUCUUUCUCUGUCUCUCUCUCUCUUCUUUAUAUAUCUAUAUAUCUCUCCUCUCCACCUUAAAUCACCUCUAUAUGUAGAGAGAGAGAUCUCUCUCUCUUUAAUAUAUUUAUACAAUCUCCCUCUUCUUAAUCGUAUGUAUUAACACAAAACCUGGUUAUGCAUCAACAACAAUCAUCAAUAAUAAUCAUGAAAAAGUAAAUCACAAAAAUUAAAGGAGCAAAAAAGAGGGGAAAAAAAAAAAAAAAAAAGAGGAGAGAGAUACGUACGAGAGGUUUAGUUUCUUUUUCGCUAAUAUGCGUUGUUCGUAUAUGUACAGAAACCGGAAGGUUUAGGGGCCGAGCGAUGAGGCGCCUUUGGGGGAUAUAGAAGAGCGCGCCACGAAAAGGCCCUCGAGUUGCGGCGAAAUUACGGGAAUACCAGGGGUUUAAUAUAGAAAGGGGCGCGUACGUGGCGCGACUCUCGACGAACGCGUGGACGCGGACGAUGCGAGCUGGAACGGGGCCGUAUCAGCCGCGUGAUGGGGGAGCGGACGGUGGGGAUCGGAUUGGUGUUGUGGGGCCCAAUAAGGGGGGGGGUGUUCGGGAACGUAAAGGGUGUUUCGGUCAUUUGGGGCGGGUGGGUGGCAUGGGUUGUAAUUUUGGGGAAGUUUUGGGGUGGAGAUUGGGGGCGACAGCUGGCGAUGGGCGCGCAUGUUUGGGUGGCGAUCUCGAGCGAGUGGGACCCACCCCGGCGAGGAAUUUGUCUCGGUGCAUUGGGGGGUUAUUUGGUGAACCCGGUGCAGAAUUUGAACGGUGGAUCGCGAGAGGUUGUUGAGAAUCGGACGGAAAUAGGUUGCAAGUCCACGGUUGUAGCUGUGCACAGGGUUCACGAAAUGUUAUCAGCGGGCCAGGAGAGAUACGGUGUGCGCCACCGGCCCAGGCCCGUUGGAGUGGAAGGGAAACGUGAAGCGAUUAAUAUUGGAUUUGCUACUUUUUUUUUAUUUUUUUUCUUGGUAAAAAUGCACGGAGGCCCCUCAACCUAUAAGAAAUACUUAAAAAGAUCCCUCAAAUAUUGUUGUUCUUUUGGCUUUUUAUUUGAGUUGUUUUGUUUUUAAAUUAAGUUUCGACAAUAAUUUGAAAUUAUGGUACCUAAAAGUACAUAUUUUUAUAUUCUGAAUGGUCUAAAAAUAUAUAGUUUUUUUUUUAAUUUUAGUAUUUUUUUAAUACUAGUAAAUUAUGAUAAGAAUUUCUACCUAAGAAAUAAACAGCCAUAGUUUGUCCCUUUCCUAUAGCAAUUUCUAUCAUAAUUUUAUAAUAUUAAAAAUAUACAUUAAUUUUUUAUUUUUCAGUCUGUGAGAAUAUAAAAGUAUAUUUUUUGUUGCGCAAUUUUAAAAUAUUUUGAAAGAAGUUUGAGGAGUCGAUCCCAAAAUAGAUGAUAGUUGAGGGGUUUCUUUUUUUUUCGUUCGAAAUUUCGAACUUUUUUUUUUUAAAAAAAAAUUUGGUGUGUUUCGGAGGGAACGAGUUGAGUGAUUUAGUAAAACGGUCCGAGUUGGGGCCCAGUGAGGACCGAGUUGGUGUUGGACCGGACCACGUGGCUUCGCUGGCGCGGGGGGCGGUGGGACCCAAACGGCGCGGUGGCUCACUCCGUUUUGUUUUGUUCCCAAUUUUGUCCCUCCCCCGUAUCAUCGCUACUUAUUCUCUCCUCUCAACUAACGGCUCUAUUUGUCAUUUGCUGCUACCCAAAAAUAAUAAAAUAAAAUAAAAUAAAAUGAAAGAGAAAUAGUUGGAAUACUAUUUGGCAAUAAAUAAGACCAAACGACAAAAAAAAAGAAAAGAAAAGCGAGUUUAGUCACAAUUUUAUAACUAUUAUUACUCCUAGCAGUAAAAAUUACGUUAAUUUUAAUUCUAUAUGAUUAUGAAAUGAUUGUGAAUUAUCGGUUCAGACAUAAUACAGAGAAGUUGGUGGAUGAUAUUGGUUACAUUUUUGGAGCAGAAUCAUAGGAAUUAGAUAAAUUAUCUAACACUCCCUUAAUUUUGGUUACUAUGUUAAUUAUGAUUUAACAAUUAUGUUAAGCUCUUAAAAAGAUUGAUAAUGCUGGUAAAACUAUAUAGGGAUGGAAAUAGAAGUGAAUUUUCUAUAUUAUCCUGAGACAUAACGUAAAGAGUAGGACGAUUUUUAGCACUAUAACUUAGAAAUUUCAAUUGGCAGUUAACACCGAAUUCAACACAUCUUUGUCAUUUACACAAGAAGUUUAUGAUCAAAUAUCUAAAAAACCAUAUCAUAUCUGGCUUUGAAAAAUAGUCCAUAUAUAUGUGACGUAUGACCAACCUAGGGCCAUUUUUUAACUUAAUUUUUACCUAUUUUGGGCUGCUUUUAGAGCAAGCUCUUCAAAAAUAUGGGGACCCUGGGGUUUAAUAGUCCCACAUCGCAUAAGACCUAGUCUGAGAUCGCAGUGUCUAAAAGCCAAGUCAGUGACAAAUGAGCUUCGUGUUGGCUAUGCCAAAAAUGAAAACUAAUUAAGGGUGUUUGCGCCUUCAAAGUAUAAGUUUGAUAUGGAGCAUCUCCACAAUUUAAAUCUAGUCAAAUAAUAUUAUAAAAUAACUGGAUUUUUUUUUUUUUUGAAAGAAAAGUAUAAUAGCAAAAUAUCCGCUUCGUUCAUUUUUCAUUAAUGAGCGCAACUAAAAAAUACAAAAUAAUUAAAUUUAAAUUUGAAAUAUCAGAUAUCAACCAUCAAAUUUUUAGGCACGCACGACUAAAACAACUACUGAAAUAAGCACGAACAGAUAAUAACUCAAUUAACAGACACAAUUUGCUCCUACGCAAGUAAGUACAAACAUAACAGCUAGCCCCCAAAAUAAGGAGUAGGCCUAGUUGCAAUAUCUCGGCAAGAAUAGGAUUCAUGGGCGCGCAUUAGAAAGAGAAGUUGCGGUGUCAAUCGCUUUUGGGAAAAGCCGAGAAAGGACAAGGCCGAUUAAUUUGAGUAGAUUAAAAGCACUUGUGAAGAAGUGUGAUUAGUACAAAAGGAGGCUGUCUUAUUUGGUCUUCUCUUUCAAGUUUCAAGUAUCCACCCCCCCUCACUUCAGAUUCCUCCUCCUUGGAUUCUCAAAAUGUAGCUGCAGGUAAAAUUUCUCCAGGGAAAGUGAGAGAGAUAGACAGAUAAAGAGAGCGACAGUGGCGUACACUGUUGUGGGUCUCACAUUGUCUGAUGAACAAAAUAGUCCUACAUCUAUCUCUCUCUCUCUCUCUCUCUCUCUUUUCUAAGUAGAAUUUCUAUAUAUAUUUAUCCAUGGUUAGUCGCAGCGCACGUAAGAUGCACAUCAUAUUAAUGUUGUUGAACACAUUUAUUCCUGUAUGUACUUUUAUGUAAUUUUGUUACUUGGUAGGAUAUUUAUUUCUGAUUAAGAAAGAUAGAGGAAAAAAGAAUAAAUUUAGAUUCGAAUUGAUAUGUACAAUAAAAAUUGAGUUAAUAUUUAGAAUUAAAAUUAAGUUUUAAUUUCGAACUAAUGGUUCUUGGUGGCGUAGGUCUAUUUUUUUUCAAUUGAUUUGUUCCCCAAAAUGUUAUCUCUUUCCGUUUUAGAAAAAAGAGAAAUAGGGAUGUAAUUAAAUUUGAUUUUAAGUUUUAAAUUUGGAUUAGAUUUGAUCAUACAUUGAUUGUCUUUUCUUUGAAUUAAAUUUUCGUGGAUAACUUUUUAAAUGUAUAAAAUUUAAAUUAAAUUUUGAAGAGAGAGGAGUAGGUAUCUUUUUCUAAUUAGUACCUUCCCAUGUAUGUUUAAUUUCCUUUUUUAAUGUAAAAGAAAAAAAAUUUUAAUUUCCUUUUAGCAUUAAUUUCCUCUAUCAAUCCUAUUUAGAUAGUACAAAUAUAUAUAAAUAUAGAUUUUAUACUGGGUGUAAUUGCAUGUGUAUUCUUAGAAACUAAUAGAAUUUCGCAUUUAUCUCUACCAAAUUUUAACUAUAAUAUAUAUCCCUCCAAAAUAGCAUAUUUUAUAAGUACAUUCCUCUCCAUUAAUUGAUCGGUUAAAGUUAUUUUUUUUUUGGUACAAAUAACUAUUCUAUUUUUGGAUAAAUAUCAAUUUAUAUGUUUUUAAAUUUUUUUAUCAAUUAUAAUGUUUUAUUCCAACUUUUACGUAAACUAUAAAUAGUAAAUUGUAAAUAAACAAAAGUUAUCCUUUUCCCAGGAAUGGUCAAAAUUUAAUGGUCAAUUAAAGACAACCAACCCAUAGGAAUAUAUUUGCAUAUUUCAAAACUUUUUUAAAAAAUAUGUAUUUGGUAAUUUAAAGACUCUGUAAAUGCACAUAAAUUAUCCCUAAAUUUAGGUAAAUUGUGUUUGCUCCUCAACUACGUUUUUGCCCGUGACAAACCACUCUCAAAGCCUCAUAAAAAGACGCAAAAAAAAUUUACGAAAUAAGGAAAAAAGAAUCCAAUGCUUUUGCUCUUGGCCAAUCACCUUUCAUGCUUAUAUAAGAACAUUCAUGAAACCUCUGAAACAUAUCUAAUACUUAUCUUUAAGAAUCUUUAUUUAUUCUCUAAUGUUGAUAAGGACAAAGUCCAUCACGAAUAUACAUGAUGACAUGUACCCAACAUGUUUUUUCCUUCCAAGUAACCUCUUUGAUUAAUUGUGUGUGUGACAUUUGAUACACUGGAGGGGCUUUGUGGUCAUGGUCAACUCGGCUCAUCUAUUGGAGGAGGUUAAUUAAGUGCUGGUGACUUGUAUUAGGGGGUUUCAUGUUCAAUAUAUUCACUUAUAAAUUGUAUUAUAUUAUUAUAUAUGUCUCAUGCAAGGUGAGAUGUAAUACAACAAGGCACAAAUUUAAAGAUGCUUACUGUAUGCGGAAUAGUGUUUUAUUUAUUGUUGGUGAUUUUAAAAACAAUCUUAUGCACUUUCAAAUUUGACAUUUGAGUUUUCUAACUUUGAUAAAAUAUUAUAGUUCGUCUUAUCGUAUUAUAUAUCUAUCGGUAUAUUUGACUAUCUAAUCUGUAUUCAGAUUCAUAUGUUCCAUUUCUAAAAUAUAACAAAGUAUAUAAGUAUUAGUGUAAUAGAUUAAACUUAUAUAAUAUUAUAUAUAUAUAUAUAUAUUAUAUAUAUAUAUAUAUUCUGUGGGUACGUACCCACGGGGAUUCAGUGACUAAGAAGAUGAUUUUAUUUAUAUGACCAAAAGAAGAGUUUUACAAUUGCACGAAAUAAAUUUAGAUAUUCUAACCCGUGACUACAUUGCAGAAGGAACCAGGGACAACUUAAUAGGGGCAAAAAAAAUAAUAAUAAUAAAAUAAAAUAAAAUCAGAGGAAAUGAAAAGAAAAAAAAAACAAAAACAAAAUCAUCAGGUGUGUUGUUAGGUACAUGUUUGGAGUUAACCAAUAGAGGUUAAUCACGUAUUACUAGAUUUUAUAAUUAGCAUGUAGCUAAUACUUUUUCAUAUGCUAAACAUGUCCAUGGAUUGUUUUUAGCCCCUAAUUAAGCAUUUUGCUCUACACAGUUCUCGAUUAUAUUAUCUCAAAUGUCACAAUCAUUAAAACCUUGCAAUUAAUGAACUAUAAUUUCUUCAUACAUCCAAACUGUUAUCUAAAACAUCCAUCUAGAGUAUAUAUUAACACAAAUAAGUUCUUAUGAAGAGAUUUGACUAUAUAUGAGUCCCCACCAUUCCUUUUUGUAAUGUGCAAAAAGGAAAAAAAAAAAUGAAGGAAAAAAAGUAAUUCUACCUAAUUGAAUAAAUUAACUCUUGUGCAUGUAUAUUUAUUAAAACCUGUAGGGACAGGUAUUUAAGAAACUAAUUAAUCCAUCCAAAUCUACCAAGUGCACCUCGCACCAAUUCAUGACCAAACGUGUUAACAAUACUCAAUUCUCUAAUGAUUAAUUUGGUACAUAGUGCUUAAUUAACUAGUAAUAAUUGAUUAUUCCCAUUAGUUUAAUUAAUAUGUCCCUCUCUACUAUGAUUCCUUGCUAUAAAAAACUUGUAAGCAAUAAUUACUUAGUACACUUCGUAGCUGGCUCCUUACAUUUGCAAUAUUCCUCUUGUUGCUUGUUUAAGUGUUCCAGUUGUAAUUUACUCUACAAGAUGCUUACUUUUUUGAGUAAUUGUAAGAAAAUUUGGGCAUUUUAUUUGGUAUUUUGAGGCGCGAAAUGUCGCGAGGUUCAAAUUUUUUGUGCGUGGAAAGUUUUGAACCUAAUUGAAGUUGAUCGGUGCAGCGCGGUUACGGACUAGUAAUGGCUGGUAAUUUCAAGCUUAUUGUUCGGUUUCGACAUUAACUUAAGAAUUAGUGAGUCAAAUUUAAACUUUUGCUUUAUAAAAAAACUUUUGAAGUAGGAAUCUCUUUUUAAUAAAACCCCAUAAUAUGCGACUGGUCGUAAAUCCGAAAUUUUGACUUGUACCAAAUCAUGCUUUUCUUGAUUGUUGAAUUAUUAUAAGUUUUUGGGGUUUCAUAUGUGAAAUUUCUCUCUUAGAUUUUUUUUAAUUUUUUUUUUUAACAUCUGUUUAAUGCAUAACCCCAUAUAAUUAAUUAUAUUAAUUGGGAAUUAAAUGAUGUGAUUGUUAAGUCUCUUUUGGAUCAGGUUGCGUUGGACCAAUGGGCUUCAUUAAAAGGCUUCAUAAUGGGCCUAAAAGCACAGCUUUUUCAUGGGAAUGGGCUUUAAUGGGCCUAAAGAGUGACUUUGCAAACCUCGCGUAGCCCAUAGCCCAUAAAAGCCCACUGUUUUAUCGAAAAUAAAACUCAAUUCAAGUUUAUUGAAUUUAAUAAAUUACGAACCACGCAAUGAUUUUUGAAGCUUCUUGGGAGAUAAAUGUGAAUUCUAAACACAACACUUAAGGGGAAAAAAAAAAAGAAAAAAAUAAUUACAUGUUUUGAGUAUAACUCAAAAGGUAGUGAAUUUUAUGUUAAUUAACACCUUUUUCAAGCGACUUGUUCAGCGUCCAAAGAAUUAGAUUCACUUGCAAAAGUAGCAAGUUGUUCUUUUGUGCUUUUGGAUAAGAUAUUCAACAGUGUGCUUUUUUUAUUCUAUACGUAUUUUGUUUCGCAGAAAACUAGCUUUCGAUGGACAUAAGUUAGAUAACUCGAAACUUCGACACAAAUCUCAAAUUUUAAUGCACGCAGACCCGAAUUUACGACAUUUUCGUCGUGUCCGUGUGUGCUCAUGACCUAACUGCUAAGGUAUUAGGUAUUUUGUAAAUUGAUGAUGUUGCUGUUACUAAGAAUAACUUGAUGGGAUACAAUAUGGCCAAAUUCAUAGCAUCAAGCAUUACCCCUAUUAUUAUAUAUUUUGUCUAAAGAAACAGGUUGUCUCCUGCUUGAGAAUAAUUUUUUUUUUUAAUCUUUUUCUUUAAAAGAAAGAAUAUCUUUUAUCUUAAGAACUAAAGUAUUGCAGUUUAUGAAGCACUAUGAUGGAAUGAACGAAGGUGCACCGAAAAAGCAUUUGAAUUCCCCCAAAAGUUUUCCACUUAAAGAUAAACUUCUUUAUUAGUGACAUAUAUAUCCAAUUGAAUUUGGACAUCAACUAUAGUGACCUAAUCUAACUCACCUACUUUUUUUUUGUUUUAUUUUAUUUCUUUUUUAAUUCUGUCCAUUGAUUCCACAUCCUAAAAAUCUAUCUAGAAUCGACUGCCCUAGAGCAAGUGGCAAAGGGUUUGGUGGUUGGUAUCCGAGACCCAAAUUCGAAUUCUAGUUGAUUCACAUUUUUAGCUAAGUUUAUUUUUAUAUAAAAUAAACGAAGCAGAUAGCGUGCUACCUAUCUCUAAAAAAGGAAAAAGAAAAAAGAACCUAUCUAGAAACUUCGAUAUUUAACUUGCAAUCAGAGACGAAGAGCAGCUAAAAAAAUCACUAUAAUAAGGGCUCAGACGUAGGCCCACGCACAUAUAUAAACAAAAUCGAACUUGCGACCUGUCCCUCACAUAAAAGGAUGCCUCACUAACCCAACUAUAAGUGGCUACAUUUAAUCAAACAUAGAUUGCUGGACCGCUCGAAUCUCUUAAGUGGUUUAAAGAACUUAUUGUAGAUUCGUACAAGUUAUAUUUUUUGUGUAAUUGAUUAUACAAACAUUUAAGUGGUGGUCCUUUUAUAUCUCUCCAAUCAUCAACAACGAUUUCUCAACAUCUAUCUUAUUCUAUCAUUUUUGCAUGAAUACGAUACGAUACAGCUAAAGUUGUGAAAACUCUCUCACUUAUGGUGUAAACAAAAUAACUAAAAUGAAUAAAACUAAUUUAGUUGCCUUGGAAAACAAAACUAAAAAUGGUGCAACAUCGAUCGAACAUGUGGUGUAAGUGGCGCCAGGAAAUUCGGAGCAUUCAAAGCGCAAUUGGUCCCAUCAUGUUGCCACAAGGAUAAUGAGACUUUAUUAUUAUUAUUAUACAACCAUCCAAUUUGCACCUGUAACGAUUUUAUUAAUGAGUGAUAGUGAAAUAUAUUUAUUUAUCAAUGAAUUACACAAUCACGAGUCUUUUAUGAUUCUGCAAGUACUAUUAUGUGCCUGUUUGGCUCAAAGUACUUUUAUUAGAAGUUCUCUUUAUAUAUAAAAAAAAAGUUGUUGUGAGAAAACGCCUCAUCAUUAAACUAUGUUUAAUAUUUUCUCGUCAAAUCUGGGAGUAGAAGUUUAAGUUUGAACUACUGCUGUUGAGAACCUUGGUUCGUUUUAGUUAAACACCUCAACCGACGUCUCAAAAAAAUAUAUAGGGAGUUUGACUGCUAUAUAUAUUCAUAAGAGUAUGUUCGUUUUUAUACUUAUAAAUAAUUUUUAAUAAGAAAAAAUUUUGAAUUAACAAUUCAUACCGUUAGACAUAAUUUAGAGCAUUUGAAAUUUUUAAAAAUUAAAUUUCAUAAUUUUUCAACAUCAUUCAUCUUACGAUCAAAAUAUCACAAAAUUAAUAAUUUUUAACGGCCGGUAUGGAAUAUUUGCUAUUUUAACAGUGUAAAAGAUUCGAAAUAGAUUGAAUUUUUUUUAGAUAAUGAUAUUCACUAUCUCGAUGAAGAUCAAUAAUUCCGAUCUUAAAUUGAAAAGUUCGAUCAUUCUUUUUUAGGACGUUGUUCGACUUUGACCGUUCAUUUUGUGUCCGCUUGAUGGACUUUAUUAUAAUUUUAAAAAAUUAUAAAUUUUAUUUUCUACAAAUUUCAAAUGCUUUAGAUUAUGUUUAACGGCGUGAAUCAUCAAUUUGAAAACUACGUCAUCGAAAACAACUUAUGAGUAUAAAAUACUCUAUACUCAUAAAAGCAUAAUAGCCCUACUAUAUACAUAUAUGUAUAUAUUUGAAGAUGAAAGCCACCCACAGUAUGUGACAAGCAUGUUAAAUUAUUAUAUCUGGUUUUAUAUAUAAUAAGCUUAUUUGGCAUGGGAAAAGUGAAUUAGAUUCGAGAAACAAGUAAGCAUUUCUUUUAAGAGAAUUUUAUUUUUUAAAAAAUAAAAAAAGUUAAAAAUGUGAAUAAAUUAGGAUUCAAACUUGAAAUCUUAGGUAUCAAUCAUCAAGCUCUUUACUCAGGUCGGUGAAACAAAUGUGUUGAGAUGAGAUUUAGCAACCCGAAUGCGUCGGAUGCUGCUUGAGGAACCUGAUCUGAUCAAAUAGUUUAGCUUGAAUACAAAUCAUGUGUCGAAUUCCACUUAAGAGGUGAAACCUAAAUGAGAUUAGAUUCAGAAUAAUAUAAAUCUCUACCAACACUUUUCUCUCGUCUUAUACUAUUCAAUCCAAAUUAAAAAAACAAAACCGAACUCACAAUAAAUAUCUAUGAAAAAUUUUCACAACUUAUAUAUAACCAAUAAUAGUAAGCCACGUAAGCUGGUCUAAUACCAAAACCACUGUUGCAAUCAUGCCAUAUGUUUUGUCUUACUUUACACUCCAGUCCCUGCAGAUUAUUUUAAUUAUUUGAACUAAUUCUAACAAGACAAAAUUAAUGAUUUAUCUUAGCCCUUAAGCCUCGCCUCUCUAUGGAAAGCUUAAUCGUGCUACGCUGUGCUUAAGGUACAGCACAUAUCUCCUCCAUAUCCUUCUAAAGAGAAAUUAUUGGGUGGACCAUAGCUUACCGUGGACCGGUCUCUCAUUAUUAUAUGGGAAAUGCUUGAUUUACAAUUGCUAACGAAUAUAAAUAAUAAAUUUUAAUGAAGUUUAAUAAAAUUUUGCUCAUUUAAAAGAUUAUCACAGAUGAUUCAAAUUUUACUGCAUUGAAGGAUUUAGAAUUUGACUAUAAAGUGUGAAACUCUGAUUUCUAAUUAAAAAAUAAAAUAAGGAUACUCUUAGUAUAAUGUGAUUUUUUCACAAUAAAUAUUUAGAAACUGUUAUAUUUUAAUUUUAGAUUCUUUAGUGGUUGGUUCUAUUAUGCACUAUUUAGAGUUGAAUAAAUAUGAAUAUAUUUAAUUAUAUAAGAAAGUUAGGUAAAAGUAUAUUGUAUAAAUAAACACAUGUAUAUCACCAACAAGUUGUUUCUGCACCGGGUCUAGGGAUGUAGUGGACCCGGUCUAGGGAGUGGCUUCUCACGCUCUAGAUUCUCGCAGCCGCGUUAUUGGGCGCAUCGGACGGCCCCGGAGCUUCCGCUUCUGCGGAGCGCGAAGCAGCGCACACCGUGGGAUUCCCACCACGCAGGUGACGUGUCAGUCUCUCAUCCGUCCAAUUUGCCCCCCCACCUCUCCCCGCUCCCCUCUUUAGACCUUUCCCACCCCCUCUAACAAUGCGAAAGGUUGUGUUGUGUUGCGUUGUGUUUUGUUUUGUUGUUAUUCUCACCCACCACCUCCAUUUCCCUCUCUCUCUCUCUCUCUCUCUCUCUCUCCGUCUCCUUUGAGCGAUUUGCUUCGUAUUUGAGCCUUUGGUGGCGAUUUUUUUGAGGUUUUUGUGGGAUUUUCUUUGAUUUGGGGGAUUGGGACGGGGAGGGGGUCGGGAUUAGGGUUUUUGAAAAGAGAAGGGGGUUUAUUCGGGAGGUGAUCGAGCUGGAGGGAGGAGGGAAGCUAGGGUUUUUCUGCGGAGAUUUGUGGUGCGAUCUUAUGGCGUCGGAGAUCACGAAGGAGAAGGGUAUCGUUUUCCGCUAAAAUUUGAUCUUAUUUGGUUUAUUUUUUGGGAGAGAAAGAUCUUUUUUCCCCCUUUUUUAUAUGACAAUUUCCUAAUGAGGGAUUUAUAGUUGCUUCUUACGGAAAAAAGCUACUUUUUUUUCUCCGCACUUUUCGUGAUGUCUGUGGGAGGAUCCGUUUAAUUUCGAUUUCAAAAAGUAAACCGUGUCGGAUUUGGGUUAUUGGUUCACUUUGAUCUUUGGUUAUGUUUCUCCACUCAUCUAGAGUGGAUAAAAAUUUGUAACAAAUUUUUUUUUUUCCCCCCGGUCUAGUUGCGAUCCGAGCUUAUGUAGCUCUAAUUUGCAAAAGAAGAAGGAAAAAGGAGAAAUUUAUGAUUAUAAGCUUGUUCGUGUUGUGUACGAAUAUGAUGAGUUGGAGUUUUGACAAGUUGCUAAAAUUAUUGUAGAAAAUAAUUGCAUGAGCUUUGAGAAUAUAGCAUCUGAUGCAUGACUUAAGAUGUAUAAAGCAUUUAUUCUUUCUUAGGGUAUGAUAUUUCAUUGUUGGGUGCAUUGACUUUUUCCCCCUUUUUUCUUUCAUAUAGAUGUGCAAGAUGUGGUGGAAAAUUUGAAGUUGGAUUCUAAUUCUAAGACUGCGAGUGGUGAGAUGGUAUGAUGAUAUUUAGUUUAGUUAUGAUUAAAUCUUUUUUGAUUGUACAGUAUGUUGGAUUAAAUUAUAUUAUAGUGCUUAAGUUUUGCCAAAUUUGAUUCAUUGGCUCUAUCUUUAUCCAUCUCUUUCUAUAGGCUGGACAAAAAGAUGGGAGCACAUCGGAUGCGAUAUCAUGCAUCUCUUCAGCUGAUGCUAAUAGUAGCAUCAAAGAAAGUGAGGUCGAACAAGAGGCCUUGUUUUCUGAACCGAGCAGCUACUAUACCGUGAACGGAUUAUCUGGUUAUCCUUAUUCAGGUAAAUUCUAUCAUAUGAACCAUUUGGAAGUGAAAUUAUUAUAUGUCGACUCAUCGUCGUGGUUUAUUUUUGUCUGUUCUUAUGGUGGUGAUCUCUAAUUGUAUAGGCUUUGAUGGUUCAUUUGGGGGAUGGGAUAGCCAAACUUUUAUUGGAGGAACUGAAGGCUUGGAUGUUCAGCACUCUGUAAGUUCUUUCUUUUUCCUUUCCUUUUGAUUUAAUUACGGUGCUUUGUGAACCAAAUAUAGCUUUAUUUCCCAUCUUCCCCAAUUUGGUAUUGAGUCGGCAAUUUCUUUUGCACCUUCGUUGAGAUUUUCUUGUGAUUAUUCGAUAGGAUGGUUAAAUGCUAUAACAUCCUUUUUGCUGGAUGGCCAUUUAUGAAGAAAGGUGAUAGCAACGUGAUGACAACUUGUCGAAUAUGAUGCUAUGAUUUCUUAUUUCUCUAGUUAAUGUCUUCCUGCAUUUAUCAUUGUGGGCUCUACCUUUCUAUUGGGAAAUAUUAAAGAGUUGAAGAGUAAUUGCCAUUAGCUGAGCUGUUCAGGUCAAGGACGUUGAGGGAGAAAACUGGGUUCUAAGUGCUGCCUGCUGCCUAUUUGGGCUUAUCCUUUUCUUCUACUUUCAGUUGUAGAAUGUCCAAUAGAAAAGUCUGGAGCUUUCUACUGUGGUGGGAAACAACAAUGUAGUUUUGACUUGGGAGCAGAAUCUCCAAUUUGGAUCUUCUAAAUCUGCUUUAAAGAGAAGCUUUUGCUAGGGUUAUCAAUAUAGUAUUUUCUCUUAAUACAAUUAAAAUACAACAUCAUUAAGCAACGCUACACCCUACGGCAAGAACAAACAGGCUCUAAGUAGUAAAGAAACAUUGAAAAAUCGGUUUGCUCUUAUACUUUUGGAACUAUACAAUAUUGAGCUGAUCAUUGAUUAUCUUAUAUAAACAUGUCAUUUGUUAUGCUUUUCAGACGGCAGUUAUUCUACCUAUCAAUUUGUUUUUAAUUCUCUUUUUUAAUUAAUUUUUCAGGCUAAUCAGGUGGACAAUGGUUCUUUUGUUUACUACUUUCCUGGCUUUCAUCCUGGAUACUCUCCUUACAGUCCAGUUAUUCAUGGAGCUGUGACUAGUCCUGAUGGACAGUAUAUGGGUCAGCAGCUCUUCUACCAAAGCCCAAUCUAUUCCCAACCACUUGCCUCUCCAGGGUUUGUUUCUCAGCCAGUUACUUAUCCUCCGGAAUUAAUCCCUGCUUAUUCUUGGGAUUCAUAUGCUCUUUUUGUCGAUGGGAUCCAUGGUAAUGGAUUUGGUGGAGAUACAACAUUUCCAUUUUCAGGAAAUAAUUUGUCUCCCCAGGGUCAUGCACGAUCUCCUUCAAAACCUUCACCCCAAUCAAAGUCGAACUCUCUUGAAAAGAAAGGAGCCUCAAAUCAAUAUCUCAAGCCUGUGAGUAAGGUACUGCAAUGUCUGCAAUCUUUGUUUCCUUGUACAUAACUAAAUAAUCCUUGUAAUCUGUGUCUUUUCUUGGCUUUCAGCCCAAUGGUUCUAUCGCCAAAGAUGUACCACCGACUAACAAGGUUUUGUCAUAUGCUGGCCAAGGGAAAAUUCGGCUGCUGUAUCCGAACAGCCCUAGCAAUACCAAGGAAAGUGGAAGAAAUGGUGCUGGGACUGAGAAGCUCAACGGAACUAAUACUAUAGCACCUGCAGAUUUUGAUUCAUUGAAUGAUCAAAAAAGUGGCCCGAGAACCACUGUUAAAAACUCAGGGAUACCCGAGGUUGGGUCGGGUCAACCAAAGGAUCCCGCCAAGGAGAAUGACAAUAGCAGCACCAUGAAUUUAAUAGUAAAGAAGGAUGAAUACAAUCUGCCAGAUUUUCCAACCAAGUAUGAUCAUGCGUUGUUCUUCGUGAUCAAAUCAUACAGUGAAGAUGAUAUCCACAAAAGUAUAAAAUAUAAUGUUUGGUCGAGCACCCCAAAUGGAAACAGGAGGCUUGACAAUGCCUUUCAAGUCGGACAAGAGAAGUCCAGAGAGAAAGGCACCAAAUGUCCUGUCUUUCUAUUCUUUUCUGUAAGUCUGGGCUGACUAUGUUAAUUUGAAUUUUGAAAACAGAGUACAAACAAAGAAAAGUUUUCACUAUGUUGAUCUAAUGUUUUAUCUCAACUAUCUGUCCAUUCUCCUCUGCUAUAACAUUCUAAUUAGCUUCUGUUCUUUCUUUUACAGGUAAAUGCAAGCGGACAGUUCUGUGGUCUAGCUGAGAUGAUUGGCCGAGUUGAUUUCAGCAAGAACAUGGACUUUUGGCAACAGGACAAGUGGAAUGGUUAUUUCCCUGUAAAGUGGCACAUAAUUAAAGACAUCCCUAAUCCACAGUUCCGUCAUCUAAUAUUGGAGAACAAUGACAACAAGCCUGUAACGAAUAGCAGAGAUACACAGGAGGUAUGCUUCUUAAGCUUCUGCUUUGUCAGAUAAAUUCCAGUGCAAGUAAUUAUAAGCAGCGAAUAAUGGUUAAAACCAUCUACGAUUAUCAAGCAAAUUUAAGGGCUUUUAAUAGAUUUUCAGUUAGUUGUGCAAGUUAUUUGUUUUCUGUCUCAAGCUUCUGCGUAGAUUAAAUCAGGUUGUUUGAAAACUUCCUCGAGUUAUAACCUAUUUUCAACUAGUAUUUGUUUUCUCGGGAAGUAAAUAUCUAUGCAGAACCUGUUCCUGUACUCAGCAGUAUUUCUGUGUACAUAUCUCAGGUUAAAUUUCCCCAAGGUACAGAGAUGCUGAGCAUUUUUAAGAGCUACUGUUCUAAAACUUCCAUAUUGGAUGAUUUUGCUUUUUAUGAGAACCGGCAAAAGAUACUCCAAGAGAAGAAGAACAAGACUUCUGCCUCAAAGUUGGAGCUUUUAGAGGUAAUCUACAUUCUUUUCAAAUUUAAUUGGCUUGAAAUAUCUCCUGUCAUAGCUUUUUUGUUUCUUGUGUCGGCAUCAUGAUAGAAUAAAGGGAUUGCUAUUCUAGACACUUGAGUAAUCUUUUUUAUUAUUGCUCACUUACUAGUUCAAUCGCUGUGUACCAAAAUUCAGUUUUCGUAGUUUCAUCCAUUGGUUUCCUUCGUUCCACAGUUUCAUCUAAAGGGUUCUCUUCUUUGCCGUAGAAAUGAAUUUCUCUAAUUUCUCUUCUUGGUUUGGUUUGGCCAGAAAAAAACUACUGAAGUAACUGAAGUUCCAAAGCCCGUUAGUGUCGACUACAUAGUUUCAGGCGUACAAAAGAUUGAUUUAAAUGCGACUAAGGCCAAGGAGGACCUCUCAGCUGUUGGUGUUGUUAAGAAAUGAUUAUGACUUCUGAAACUCUCUGCGAAAGAACAGUAGUUUUUUGGGAACAACUUCAGAAAAGUAAAUAAAAUAUUCUUCUUGAAGCCCGUUCAAGCAAAAGCGAAGAUGGAUGAAGCUUCAUCGCAAGACCACCCAUGAGCAGUGUCCCUUCGAUGAAUGGGUGGUCGGCCGUUCAUCCGUCUGAUGGGUCGAAGAAGAAAACUUAGGUGUACUGUCGAAGUUGAUUGUGCAAUUUUCUCUUUUCCUGUUCCUUUUUUUUAAUUUGAUGCCCCCUCUACUUGUUUUUGCCUUUGGGGGAUCCUUUGUUUCUAAUCUUUUGAGGGCAUCUAAUCUGGUGGGAGAUCUUCUUUUUGGGUGGAGGGGAAGAUGAGCUUUUGAAAGUGAUGGUGCCCUUUUGAUGCCUUUUUAAUUUAAUGACUGGUGGUUGGGUUAGGUUAGGUUCUCUUUUGUGGGUUGCGAAAGCCAUUCCAGUGGCUUUCGCAAGAUACAAGCUCUAUAGCUUGUGGAUUGUUGUGUUGUAAAGUAUGACAAAGGGAGUUGGCAAAGAAAAAGCUCCCCAGAAAAACAAAAAAACAAAAAAAGGUGAAAUGGAUGUCUUCUUCUGCUUCAUUCUUUUCCUGGGAAAUUUGCUUUUGACCCCUGCUUGGUGCCAACACAGUUCUUGCACAAAUAUGAUUUAUGAUUUCUUUGUUAAUCUCUUUUUCAGUAUAAUUAUGUGGGAAAUUGCUCUGCAGGACAGGCUUAACAAACACUUAUGUAUUUUUGCUUCUUAUUAGUAUGUGAUGCUUAAAUGAAAGGUGGGUAAUAAGAUGAUAGCUUUUUUUUUUUUUUUUUUUUUUUUUUUUUUUUUUUUUCUUUUUUAAACUAUAAUGUGUGUCUAAGAACCAGAGAAUGCAUCAAUCAUUGUGCAAUUAGAAUAUCGUGAAGGGUUAGCUAAUAAUUCAUGACUUGUAUUAUUAUAUGUUUCCACGCACUAUCAUGGGGAAUCAGAGACUGUAAAGGAAAUUUGUUCAAUUAAUAUAUAUAUAUGCUGUACGAAGUGUAAAUUGAUAUCUACAUGUAUUAGUCUCACCUUUUUAAAAUUUUAUCUCGGAUUAUGUUUGAACUUGCCCCAUCUCUUAAAAGAGUGAUUUUAUGCAUAGCUCAAAUAAACUAGAUGAGUAAGUUGUCUUUUAUGUGCAUUGGCAAAACCAGUUAUUGAAAUGGCCGAGCAAUUAUUAUAUAAUAGAGAGCGAUGUGUAUAUCAUAAAUAGAACUAUAAUCACAGUUGUCCUAUUUAAAUAAAUGAUAGAUGCGUUACGAUUUGAUAUAUGUAUUUUAGUCUUUUAGUCAAUGAGAAUAGAGUUUUCCUCAAAGCACAAAUUAAGCCUACCUCUAGAGGUGAGCUUGAAGGAUGUACUCUCUUUUCAUUAUUAUAUUACUAUUAUUUAUUUUUUACGAACAAAUUUUUUUUUCAUUCGGAGUCUAUGGCAUUGAAUUAGGAAAGGGGCUUCAUGGAGCCCCUAAUCAGGUACUCUAAUUUUAAGUAUUAACAUAUUAAGCAUUGCUCCAAGUAAUAGUACGGAUAAAAUUAUUAUCGACUAAUUUAAGUACUCUAAUUUAAUGUACCUUCGAAAGUUUGUAAUGGGCAUAGCAUAUUACCCAGAUUUUGAAUACAAGUUUGCAUGGCAAGCAAUUGGCGACCUCCUAUCAUUUACAGCAAACUUGCUUCUUAUUCUAUCCCACUAUUUUUAUUCUUAUUUAUUUAUUUAUUUAUUUAUUUUUCUAUGUGGAGCACAAGACAAAAACAUGUCAUUGUAACAUCCACAGAGGUAUCCCAAACUGCUGCUAUUUAACGUGAUCCUCAAACCACAUACGUAAUUACGUAUACGAAUUUGCUUUCGAUUAAAAAGAUUCCAUUAAGAUUCAGAUAUUUGGUACUUCUAUAUUGAAGCAAAAGGAAAAUGAGUGGCUACUGCUUGUCUUUUGAAUUAUCUUGAUGGCGAUUUGCGAGAAACUGAGCUCAUCACUCCCUGAUUUGGCGUCGUUGCUUUGGCUUCUUUACUUUUUAAGCAUUUUAUUUGACUUCACUACGCGAGGUAACGAAAAGACAACAGAUAUGAAUUUAUGCAAUUAACCACUUAUUAGAAAUUUACGAUGUUAUUACUGGAAUAAUUGCUCUCGCAAAUAGUCUAAACAUUAAUUACUUAGAUAGAGCACCAUCAGCCUCUUCACUCGUGAGGUUUAAGUUAUCCCUUUUGUUUACAUUUCUCUCUAUUUCCUAGUUUAAACUCUGUGAAUUAUGAAUUGGAUAAAUAAAGCAUGUGCAGGACCACUUUAGAUCAUAGAAGAUGUUGAAUCCUGUUAUUACACACUAUUCAUCUUCUAAAAUAAGUUUCGAAUAAUCAAAAUUAGUUGCCGUACAACACGAAAAAUAAUGAGUCAGCAAUGUUUUGUAUUUAUACUUCCGUUUACAACACUGAUUCUGAGAUUUAAGUACCACAAAAUGGCUGUUUUAAAUAGUAGGAGCAGGGCUUAUUCUGAUUUAGAAAAUACCAACCAAAUCAACAACAUUGCUAAAAGUCGAAUGAACAUAAGCCCUGCUAGACACUCAGGUAAAUUUUCUCAGUAUGUGACCGAAAAUACCAUCUACUAACAUGACAUAUUAUUAGGAUGUAUUUCUCAAGUAAUUCCACAAGUGAGCUUUACCUGUUAUAAAAGAUUCAGAAAUUAUUUUCUCCCUCCCUAGAUGUUCAGUAGCAUCAGAAAGAAACAUUCAUGAAAUGUGCCCAUACAAACUACAUUAAGACAAUAUGAAUUAUAGAAAAAGAAAAUUAACAAACAAAAUUGUCAUACAAGGUGGCGCACAUCGCUUUGACAUUUAUCUUACCCCCCAAACAAAACACAUAUGAUUCAAAUAAGUGUUACACUUCUUACAAAAUAAAAACAUGACAGAUGUGAAAAGGAGUGAGCAAAUACAAACUUUGUUGCGUGCUAAGAGCAACAAUCCGACAGUCCUGCGAGUACCCCGCACUUGAGAAGCAAAGUGUAUGCAUUUCACUUAAUGAUAAUAACUCUAUAAUCGCAAAGAUCAGAGCACUUAUGACACUAUUGCUCUCAAAGGGAAAAUGGUAAAAGUUCCUGGCGCAGCUCUUCUUUAAAUAAAACAGCGCCACUCUAAAAAUACUCGAAAUCAAGGUAAGAAGAACCACUAGAGUCGCACUUCCCUUCUGAGGUAGUAACCCCAGAGACGAUAACAGCCUCUGCCGCCUUCUUCUCCUUACUAACAACAGCAAAUUGUCCAUAGUUCACGGGAUCUGGAACAUGUGGCGGGCUGGCGCUCCUCACCAACGCCCAAUUCACGCCCUCAAAGAACGGAUGCUGCUUAAUCUCUGUCGCACCCUUCUGAUAUGCGAACCGUUUUCCCGGAUCCUUCACAAGUAAUCCGCGAAUAAGAUCCUGUGCAGCAGAGCUCACAGGUGGAGAAUCCGGAAAUCUUAGUGGCUGCCCUAUAACAUUGAAAAGCGUGGCGCGGUUACCCGACCCCUUGAAAGGGGUGUUCCCGUACAAGAGCUCAUACAGGAAAAUGCCGAACGUCCACCAAUCAACUGCGCUGCCGUGCCCCUCUCCUUUGAUGAUUUCUGGUGCGAGGUACUCGUGGGUCCCGACAAAUGACAUUGACCGCGCGUUCGUGGGCUCUGCCAUGAAUUCCAAGGACGAGCGAUGGCCCAUCCCAAAGUUGGAUCUUGAUUUGCGGUGUUUCUUUGGGAAAAUGCGGGGGAGGAAUGCCGAUGGUUGGAUGCAGACCUGGAUGAUGCUCCCACCGUCAAGCAUGCCUUUGCCACUGCUGUUGAUGGCAGAGUGGACAGAAGAGGAUUUGACAAGGGUCGGGCUAACGGAGCAUUGCAGGGAGAGGUCAAAGUCAGAGAGCAUGAUGUGGCCCUCUUCCCGGACCAGCACGUUUUCCGGUUUCAGGUCACGAUACACGACACCAAGCAUGUGCAGGUACUCAAGCGCGAGCAGCACCUCGGAUGCAUAGAAUCUACUUGGAACAAAGAAUAUGAAAGGAAUAAGGAUCUCCACAAUUCGAGCUAACCAUAAAGAAUUUCUGAAUAGAGGAGGAUUGUAGUAAAGGGGUAUCAACUAUCAAGUUUGGAUGGCCACCCAAAUUAAAGUGGCAAAAGUUCACAUAUGAACACAUUCUACAUGUUUAUAUACAUGCAUGACAUACUGAGUAUUCCAUAAUAACAACUCCAUGCGACAAUUCUAUCAGUUCAUAUAUUGGAUUUGGAUCAUAUGAAAUCAAAUUGAGACAUUGAAUGCAACAAAGAAAAUCAUUUUCCUUCCAUUCUUUUACUUCCAAUCAUGAUUUACUAUUAAAUUUUUUUGAUUAACUACAAUAUUAAUACCUGAUGUUCGACUUUGAUUUCAAUUUCAUCCUCGUUUUUUCAAUUGUAACAAAUAUAGUCCCUGAAAUUUAUUUUGCAGGAGAAUUGUGUUGUUUGUUAGUCUGCCUUGUGGUAAAGGCACCACAUCAGCAAUAUCUUUUUAGACUUGCUUUGCUAAAAUCAGAACUGGAGAACCUAAAAGCUUAUAAUAAGUCCACUUCCUUUGCCCACAAGAACCUUCAAUAUAAACAUCCAUGCAACUAUUCCUGUGUCUCUGUUAUAGAUAUCCUAGCUCAUUUAUCUAGACCUAUCAACAGUACUCUAGAAAUAAACGUUUUAUCAAGGCAACUGAUAAUUUCCCUUCUCAUUACCUAGUUCAGAAAAUGAUUUCAAAACCACCACAAAGUUUUAGAUCACAAAAGCAAGAUUACCCAAUCAUUUUGCACUCAGAGAACGUGAAAGUUGUGACCUGAAGAAUAAGUGUUAAAGAGAAGGCCAAAGUGCUGAAAAGAUCAGAAUUCCUUUUCCCAAUUAAGAUACAUCGCAGCCUACAGACUCAGCAAGCUUGAAGUACACAAGAUAAUAGAGAAACAUCUCUCUUACUCAAUAAGCACCAAAAUUCUAGCAUUAGUAUAGCACAAGAAAAUUUAGCCAUAAUUAAUCUGACAAAGUUGCUUAUAUAUGCAGCAACAAUUAUAUAGAUAUAGGAAAAGAAGAUACAGAAAGAAUAAGUACAAUCACCAAACAAAAGGAAAAAAAGAAGUCUCAGCUUACCUUUCAAGAAAGAAAAUAAAGGCUAACUCUCACAGAAGCAAACUAUCUGCAGAGAAGAUUAUUUUUUAAAAAAGAAGAAGGAAAGAAUCUCACCUAGCAGCUUGUUCAGUGAAAUACUUAUUAGGCUGCUUCUGUCGGAGAGAAUGGAGGUUCCCACCAUUGCAGUACUCCAUGACCAAGCAAUAAAACUUCUCCGACUCAAAGUGUGAGUAUAACGUUGGCAAGAAGGGAUGAUCGAGAAGGCUCAGAAUCUCUCUCUCUGUCUGUGCCCUAAUAAGCUUAUUUCUAUUGACAAGGGAUGCCUUAUCCAUCACUUUCAUUGCAAAAAAUGUACCGGUUCCCCUAAGUUCAACAAGAUAGACACUACCAAUAUCCCCAUAUCCCAAUCGCUUGAGGAGCCUAAAAUGACCUAAACUAAGGGGUGGGUCUCUAGAAUUAGCCAGUUGGACGGCCUCCCAACGGCAAUCACCACCGGUGUGCCGUCUUAUGUUUGGCAUGGGAGUGUUACCAUCUAUGCUAUCACUCCUAUCGCUACUGACACUGGAUCUGUUUAGUGUGGUGUUGGAAUCAGUAUAGUUUCCAGCGCUAGUCAUUGUAUAUGCAGUAAUUGUAUGUACUUCUGUGGAGUUUGUGGUUGAUAGUGAGGUAGAAUUUGUUUCUGAGAUUGUCAGCAAUUUGGGACUUGGACAUGCGGUUGGGUAGUGACUUGGCCCACUUGGGUAUGUAUCCAAAUUCUUCAAAUAAAAAGCACUGUCGUUGUCGAUUGUUUCCAAAUUUGUCUUGUUGCUUGAUGGUCCCUCAUAUGUUGCUUCUGGGUUUGCAAAUGAUCGAGGGCUUGGGCACGGACUAGGGAAGACACGAGAGGUAAUGUCAUGUUGAGAGCAUUUUGUAGAUUCCAGGAUGGUACUUGCAGUCAUCUCCAUUUAAUUGUAAUUUAAUGAUGUGUUGUUGCAUGACAUCAAAUUCACCUGAAACAUUGAGUGGACAAGUAAUUAAAUAGGCACACAGCAUGUGCAGCUUGGUAAAUAACUAAGACAAAUUUAGGCUGAAAGGGUUUAAUCGUUAUAUAAAGAGCGCAAAGAAGCGACCAACGAAGAGAUGUUUGCUGCGCACAACACAUCAUAUUGGAAGAGGAGAACCAAGUUGCACAGAGUACCAUAAGAAUAUUAAUAAGUUCUUGGCAAUUAGAUUAUUAAUUAUUUCUCUUCAAAAUUUGCUGUUAACCGACAUCAAAACUAUAGCAUAAGGUCUGAAGAUCAAUUGAAUAUAGCAUAGCAAGCCCCUAUUAACUAUAAUUUUGGUGAAAAUGAUUGAAAUCAUUACGCGCCAACUACUGCCUACUAGAAUAAAACUUCGAAAAUGAUAGAUUAUCAUGAAAUUGGGGUAAAAAUGCAUCCCAACAAACCAUUUAAUAGAUAAAAGAUGAAAGCACUGCACAAUUUAUUAUGCUUAAAAUCAACAUUCAUAUUAAAACACGUCCGAAUUAAAGGACAUAAAAAUGCUGAGCAAAACUAGAAGCAAGAUAUUGAAAGAAAAUAGCAAAUUUUGACAAAGUAGCAUCCAAGCAUACACACUUAACACCUCUGCAAAUAGUAUAUGAUCACGACGAACAUACAUAAAAAGCUAAGAUCAAAAGUUACUACCAAUCGCAAUUCACAAAACAUUACCGAUUAAACAAUAUCUGCACAAUCCGAAGCCUCACACUAACCCUAACCCUCCUCCACUAAAACCACAACGAGAUCUCUCCGACGGAGAAGGUCGAAUCGGAAACUCCCAUAGCUCUCUCCCCGAAUCCAAAAGGGGGGAAAGAGUGAAGACGAAGAGGAGAGAGACGCCCCGGAUAAACCGAUGUGCGUGAUCGAAUACAUUGUUGCUAAAUUUAAGGGGAGAAAAAAAAAAUUAGAUAGAGGAGAGACGUGGGAGGGUGAACGGAGAGAUGAGGGAAUUGGUCGUGGAAGAGCACAAAGAGAGAGAGAGAGAGAGAGAGAGAGAGACGAGGGGGAAUGGGCGAACCAAUUUUUGGUGGGGAUGGUCCCCAACUCGAGACGAUCAACUUCGCUUGCUUUCAGAUUCGUGCCGGUUUUGUGAUGGACGAUGGAUGUGGUGUCCGUGUCCCCCACGAAUUAAGAGAGAUUUGAACAAAUAGGAAUUUUAAUAAGUGUAGUAUAUAUAGAUUGAGGAAGGAUUAGAGAAAGAACCACGUGGAGGGCUAAAUAUUGGAUGGUGCAUGAGUGCGAGAUGCACCGGGUUCUGAAAGAAAAAAAGGGCAAAAAGAAAAAUAAAAAAAAUUGAUAUAAUGCAAGUGGGGAUGUUAGUUGUAACCUCCUUGUAUCUAAUUAAUUACUCGCAAUAAUCAGUGAACGAAAACGGAUUCGGGCAAGAGGCGAGAAAAAAAAAAAAAAUGAUCUGCCCCACAAACGUUUUUUAUCCGCUCCGAAUCCGACUUUAAUUUUCUCUAUAUAUAACCUCUCAAUAAUGGCACAUUUUUUUUUAAAAAAAUUAUAUAAUAUAAAUCUUAGGUAUUUGUAUAUCCGAGAUUCAAAAUUUAAAAUAUAAAUUAUUUUAUAUUUUUAAAUAAAUAUUUUUUUAAAAUGAGGAAAAUUAAUAAUUUACUUUUUUUUUUUUUUUUUUUUUUUUUUGAGAGAUAUCUGUUUUAUUUAUUUUAUUUAAAAAUAAGCUUAACUGAAAAUAUAAAUCAACUAGAAUUUAAAUUUAAAAUUUCGUCAUCCAGCGAUCCUUUUUGCCACUUGUUCGGUUCACAUUAAAAAAAACACAUUUAUGACUCUAUAAAUAGAGGUCUAAAACCUAACCCUAAGUCAAUCUGUUCCUCUCCGACUCCCACUCGGAGCCGACACAUCUCUCCUCCCUCAAAUCUCUUCCUCCUCUCCUCCGCCUUCUGCUGCAAGUCUCAAAUCUGCUUUCUGCCCUCCCUCAACAAAUUGAUUUGCUUUCUGCUCUGAACAAAUUGAUUUGCUUUCUGCUCUGAACAAAUUGAUUUUGUUAUUGAAUGUAAAGGAAAUGAUGGCAUGAAAGUAAAAGGUCUGAGUAGGAGAGCAUUGCAUUCUUAACCCAAGGUAGAGGGCCCUCGCCCUUGCUCGAGUCGUAGCACUGCGGCUCUCGCAACCUCUUCUACAACAACAACAAAUAUCUUCUUGUCUUUUCCAUGCGUAAGCGUGGAAUCGGGGUCGGAGUAAAAGGCGUGGGCCGCGUCCGGAGACGUGGACGCCGGCCUAGACCUCUCCCUACAUUCCGAUCAGAGUCCCUGCGAUAAUCCAAUGACUAUCAAUGCUCUCCCUCGCUGAUCAAAUCCUUUAGUCUGAUCCUUUCAUCUGCAUUCACUUAUUAUUGCCUAAAUUGUUAUAUACUUAUAUUGGAUUAGCCUAUUUAGAUUUCAAAGUUUUUCGCGUCAAAUUGUCGACACCAAAAAGGAGAAAAGGUUUCUUUUGAUAAUCGAACACAUAGAGCAGAGUCGCUGCCAUUAUGUGUUUGGUAGUACCCAGCUGAUUUUGCUAUUCUCUCUAAAAUUUUUCUGAGAAUACAUAAUCGCAGUAGUUACAAUUACUGUAAUUCAUCUAAACACUGCUAGCUAGGGAAUAAAUUUCUCCCAGAUGAUUGAAACAAAAUCCGAGUCAGGAAUGGAAAACCUCCUUUAUUAUGCUUUCUCAUGCAG
RNAcentral lists this long non-coding RNA (58329 nucleotides) under Ananas comosus (pineapple). Its description in RNAcentral is "long non-coding RNA (ACOM_LNC008272)". The record is from RNAcentral. Lineage: Eukaryota; Viridiplantae; Streptophyta; Magnoliopsida; Poales; Bromeliaceae.